RNAcentral lists this long non-coding RNA (60744 nucleotides) under Eucalyptus grandis. RNAcentral's name for it is "long non-coding RNA (EGRA_LNC005886)". Lineage: Eukaryota; Viridiplantae; Streptophyta; Magnoliopsida; Myrtales; Myrtaceae. The record is from RNAcentral.
CCCUCACGAAGCCACUCCUCGUCGGUGGUCCUGACCCAGCGGAGGGCCUCCACGGCGUCGUCAUAGGCUGCGGGGAGGCGGUGCUCCGGAGCGAGGUGGUAGCUGGCGGAGACGACCACGGCCCCGAGCCUCGCCGCCAUGAGGGAGCAGAAAUUGUGGUUCUUCACGGAGGCCGGGGAGAUCAAGAUGAAACCCCCGCCGUGGUAGUACAUGAUGAGCGGCAGUUUCCGGUCGGGCGGGGGUGACGGGCGAGGCAGGUAGAUCUGAGCCCAAGUGUUGCGGGUCGGGUCAAGCGGGACGUCCUUGGAGCGGACGGCAAAGGGCUGGUCGGGGUUGGGCACGGCGGGGACAGUCGGAUCGUCGAGGCCGCGCGUGACCAUGCCGUCUGGGUGGAGGACAAGUUUGAGGUGGUCAUAGGCGUCGACGGCCGGAGCAGGAUCGAGAUCCGCAUGUUGACCGGCCACGUUUGCUCUGCUCGACCUCGAGGUGGAACUGAAGAAACAGGGAAACCGUUAUUUAUUAUCGACCUGAGGUCAAUGAUUAUACUUUAUAGGCACCACGAGGUCCAUCAUGGCGACUUAAUAAUGGAGUUUCUUACUAACCUCUCAGCAAUUGAAAACAGCUUACAUUGGGAUCCGACUAAUUCAACACUUCACUACAUUUAUAUAAAGGAUUAGGCACAGUUGAUGCCAUGAUUUGAGAACAAUAAUAAUAAUAAUAAUAAUAUACUUGUCAAAAGAAUAAAAGGAAUAUCCAUCAAGGCUUCAUGCAAAAGAGAGAGAGAAAGGAAAAAUAAUACAAAAUUUCCCUGAAUUUUAGCACAAUAUGUAAUUUGAUUUCUAAAUUUUUAAUUUGUUUAAUGUGAUCUUUGAAUUUUAGUCCGAUGUGCAAUGUUUUGUUCUUAAAUUAUUCAAUGUGGUUUAUGAAUUUUUAGUACAUGUUAUAUUUGUUCCUAAACAAUAUGAAAAUGUAGGAAAUUAUCCCUGAUUUUUUCUUUUUUUGGUGGCUAUCCGAUUUCUCUCAAAAGUCAAAAAGUCAAAUGCAGUCUAGCGCAAGGGCAUUGAUAAGGAUUUACAUACAGACAUAUAUUGGUUCCCCUGUCUAUUUCCCCAUUUUUUCCACGUCACUUCAGUCAUUACAUGUUUUUCGCCUCUUCAUGUCCUCGAGUGAUAGUUGUCACCUCUUUCUAUUAAUGUAAUUAAGUGCAAUUAAUGUAAUUAACUGAGUGAUAAUUAUCACCUCUUCAUAUCCUUGCGCGAUAAUCGCCCACCAUUAGGGUAACAACAUUGAUGAAAGGAUGUUAUAAAAGCUAAGAAUGAGAUAUGGGAGACAAAUUUAAGCCAAGCUCUCUCGUAAAGGAAAAACACGUCAAGUUGGGAAAGAAUAUUAAAUUAGUGGUGCCCAUUUUUUUGAGUCAAAACUUUGCGAAUUCAGUUUCAACUGAGCUUAAUCAAUGGCCAGAGGUUAGUUACAAUUCAUCUUAUUUUUUCCACGUUUGAUUCAUUUAUGCACGGAUUUUUUUUUUCAAUGCAUAAUUAGAUCAUACUUAUUUUUAUCAUUUGGUGCCCAUUUUUUUGGGUCAAAACUUUGCAAAUUCAGUUUCAAGUUUUCAACUGAGCUUAAUCAAUGGCAGGAGGUUAGUUACAAUUCAUCUUAUUUUUUCCACGUUCGAUUCAUUUAUGCACGAAAUUUUAUUCUUCAAUGCAUAAUUAGAUCAUACUUAGUUUUAUCAUUGGUAUCAGAGCCAUUGUCUUGGUGUUUUUUUUUCUUUUUUUUAUAGGGUUUAGUAAAUUAAAAAAGAAAUUCAUUUUACCCCCUCGCUUGCCACCAUAUGGAAAAUAUUUUUGUAAGUGAAACUAUUGAGAGACUAGUUUAGUAAUUGUUUUAAGUAUUAUUUAGUCACUAGUACUAGUUAGAUAUAAUCACUCUACUGAGAAGAUUUUCAAUUUAAUCCUCCGCUUGCAACUUUCCAGAGUUAUAGGAUUUACAUGGACUGUUUUGGCAAUUAUUUAAUUACUAUGUAGUCAAUGUUUGCAGAAUUUUUUUUGCAUGAAUUAAAAUAUCUAGUGAUCAAUAUAUAUUUUAAUUUAAUUAGAGAUUAGCUACCACAUCUUUAAUUAUAUUAAAUUAUAUAUUAUAAGCAUUUGGAUCACAUAUAGAAAAUUACAUUUAUUGUGAUUAACACAAUGAAUUUUAUCCCGUAUGAAUUUUCAUUAUAUUAAUAUGAUUAAUUAGGAUAAAAUACAAUAUUAUUUUUUUAAUCCAUGGGAAUUAGCAAAAGGAACUAUCAAUAUAUUUAAAUUAGAAACUUAGCCCACAUACAAUUUUUAUAUGUUAUUUGAUUCAUAGUAUGUAACAGGAUUUACAUUGGUAAAACAUGAUGUAUGUUUAUUUGCCUAAAAUUUUGUGACAUAAGUAUGUAUGUUUGUUAUGUAGUUUUACAACUUGUGAUUUCUAUUCAAACACGAUGUUCCUGAAUUGAACGGUGAAAACUAUAAAAUUUGGAAGGAAUUAAUCAAUCUUCAAUUAGGGUGUAUGGACAUUGAUUAUGCUAUUCGGAAAGACGAACCACUUGCUCCUGUUGAUACUAGCACUCAAGCUCAAAUUGCACUUUAUGAUCAAUGAGAGUGGUCCAACCGCUUUAAUGUAAUGUUCACAAUGACUAAAUUUUUUACUAGUACUCGUGGUUCAAUCGUUCAACAUAACAAUGCCAGCACAUUGUUGAAGGCUGUUGACAUGAUAUUUGAGACUUCAAAAAACACAUGCCUUGACUUUGAUUAUAAAGUUUUCAUUUUUGAAGCUCACUAGUAUAAGAGAUGUGUGUCGGCAUGUCUUGAAAAUGCGAGAUAUUGUUGCUCAAUUAAGAAUGUUGAUGUUGAGAUAUCUAAGUCCUUCAUUGUGUACUACAUUCUAAACACUUUUGCACAAUAAUACGCACCUUUCAAGAUCUUUUUUAACACACAUAACAGUAAAUGAUCAAUUAAUGAACUCAUGACCACAUGUGUUUAAGAAGAAAAGAGGUUGCUUAUAAAAUUGGGAGAGAGUGUUCCUUUGACAACACAAGGAAAGAACAAAUGGCAAGGGAAGUAGAAGGGAAAGGGUAAAAUAACCCCUCAAGCUUAACAAAAAGAAGGAAUCCAAAUGUUUUUUCUAUAAAAGAGAGGGCAUUUGAAGAAGAAUUGUGCCAGAUUUAAGACUUGAUUCAAGAAGAAAAGUAAUCAAAUUUCGUGUGUUUAUAUGAAACUAAUAUGAUUAAUGUAAGUCAAAACAUUUGAUGAAUUGACUCUGGAUCUAUAGUCCAUAUUUCGAAUUUCUUGCAAGGUUUUCAAAAGCAUAGGAAACCAAUGAGAAGUAAAUAAUGCAUUUAUUUAGGAAACAAGAUGUGUUCUUAUGUGAGAGCUAUUUGGGACGUGCGGGUUAGUUCUAAGCAGUAGUUUUGUUUUGAAUUUAGAAAUGACCUUUUAUAUUCCAAAUUUUUCUACAAUUUUUAUUCAUUUUUAAGACUUGUACCAUUGGAUAAUUUUUUUAAACUUCUCAUAUGCAAACUUUAGUUUGUCUUUUAAAUCUAAUAUAGUUGGGAAUUGUAUUUUGUCUAAUGGUCUUUCUUUUUUUAAAAUUAAUUUUCAAGAUAAUGCUUUUUAUAAUAUGAUGCAUGCUCAUGAUAUCGCUGGUAUAAAGCAAUGUGUUGUGAAUGAAGAUUGCUGUAUGUUGUGUCAUGAGAUUAUUACACUAUGCCUAGUUCUCCGAACCAAAAUGGUAUAAUGAAAAGAAGAAAUUGAACUUUGUUGGACAUGGCACAAAGUAUGCUUAGUAGCUCCAAACUUCCUAAGUCUCUGUGGACCAAAACUCUUACGAUAACAGUGUAUAUAUUAAAUCAAGUUCCAACCAAAGCUAUUUCAAAGAUGCCAUUUGAGUUAAUGAAGGUUGAAAAUUGAGUUUGCGACAUGUAUGCGUUUGGGGAUGUCUGUCUAAGGUGAGAUUCUUUAGUCUACAAGAAAAUGAAUUGGACCUAAUGAUUAUAAGUGGGUAUUUUAUUGGAUAUGUUGAAAAGUCCAAACAAUAUAUAUUUUAUUGUCAAUCUCAUAUCAUCAGGAAUGUGGAGUCAAUAAAUGCUAAAUUUCUUGAAAAUGACUUGAUUAGUGGGAGCGAUCAAUCCCAUAACCUUGUUCUUAAGAAAAAUCAUUUUGAUAUUUAACCUUCCACCUCAAUUAUUAGAUUGGUUGUUGUUCACAAUGCCUUUUUAAUUUUAUCUGCUAUUGAAUAACCAAUCAUUGAAGUUUCACAACUGGCUAAUAUUGGUAUGCAUAUUUAGUUGUUCAGUAAUUAUCAAAAUUUGUUAAUCAAUUAGUUGAAUAACAUAUAGAAUUUAAGAAGAUUUGCUAGAAUGAAGAAAUUAACAGUUUCUAGUGAUUACAUUAUGUAUUCGUAAAGGCCAACUACAACAUUGGAGCUAAGAAUGAUUCUAAAACAUUUUUAUAAGCCAUGAGUUGCAAUGUAUCUAAUUUAUGGUACAAUGCCAUGAAGAAAAAUAUGAGCUCUAUGGCAUUUAAAGAAGUCUAAAUUUUGGUUGAGUAGCCCAAUGGAGUGAAGGCUAUUGGUUGUAAAUGGGUUUUUAAAACAAACGAUGACUCAUUGGGCAACAUUGAGAGACAUAUAGUUAGACUCGUUGCCAAAGAGUUUACUCAAAAAAAGGAAUCGAUUAUAUAGAAACCUUUUCUCUUAUAUUUAAGAAAGAUGCUCUUUGUAUCAUCUUGACAUUGGUUGCCCAUUCUGAAAUGAAAUUACAUCGAAUGGAUGUAAAAACAAUGUUCCUCAAUGGGGAUCUAGAGGAGGAGGUUUGGUUAUACGAAAAUAUUUUCUCCCGCAUCCUCUUCGUAUCCUUUCGGCAUUGGAUGCCCAUCUUGAAUUGGAACUGCAUCAAAUAGAGUGAAAACAACGUUAAUCAAUGGCCAUCUUAAGAAGGAGGUUUACAUAGAACAAUCAUAAUGAUACUCCUCUAAUGAUGGUGAUCAUUUAGUAUGCAAGUUUAAGAAAUCUUUAUAUGGAUUGAAAAUAGCAUCAUCUAAAUGGUAUUUAAAAUUCAAUGAUAUCAUUUUUUCAUUUGAUUUUGUAGAGAACGUCAUGAACCGAUGUAUGUACUAGAAGGUUAGUGGGAGCAAUUUUUUUUUUUUUUUGGCGCUAUAUGAAUAUGACAAUUUACUUGCAACCAAUAAUAAGGGGUUACUACAUGAGGUGAACAAUUCUUCUCUAAAAUGUUUGACAUGAAAAAUAUGGAUGUGGCAUCUUAUUUUAUUAGCAUUGAGAUUCACAUGGAUAGACCUUGAGACGUUAUAGGACUAUAUCAAGAUACCUACAUCGGUAAAGUGUUAAAAGAGAUUUCAAAUUAAAAAUUAUUUACCAAGUACAACACCUAUCAUGAAUAGUGAUGCUUAAUUUGAACUAAUGCCCAAAGAAUAAUCUAGAAAAGGAAUAAAUGAAGAACAUUUUAUAUGCUUCUGCUGUUGGACUAGAUUUCACAGUUACUAAUCUAUUAAAGGUCAGUUUGCUCAAAAAAAACAAAAAAUCUAUUAAAGGACAGAUCUAUGGCAAUAUGUGUGGCUUGCUCUUUGCUCUAUUUUCUUCUCUUCCUCUUUUCCGAAGAGGAUCAAAUGGGGGCUUUUGCUGAUGCCGAUGGAUCACAAAGAGACCGCAAAAAGGGGGGCUAUCGAGAGGUUGUAUUUUAUAUUCUCGACGUGCUAAAGCUUUUACCUUUCUCCACAUUCAACUGAACAGUGAGAUAGAAUUGAAGUGGUAGGCCGCGAGCAAUCUUCCAUAACUCGACUCCAAUGUGUGGUUUACGCCACGCAUACCGAUUCGAAAAUGUCCCGAGGCGUAGAAGCUAUUGAUGCUUGAAGUUCGUAUGAGGAUUGGUCCUCCCAUCAAUGAUUGGAAAGGAAUGGAGAAAGAGUGCAAAAGAAAAGCUUACGUGCAUCACACAUCAUAAUCAUUGGGGUUGAAAGAAACCCAUGCCUUUUCAUAUUGUGGAGAUAAGAAUGACGUAUCAGGGCACAUUUAUGCUACUCAACUUCACUUUCUUACAAGAUAAUAAUGUUACUUUUAUUCGAUAGAUGACAUCCGUCUUUGACCGCCGGUAAUCUUCCCGUCCCCGGCUGCCGGAAUAGCUGAGCCGCUAGCUCAAAUGAUACCUUUCAGUUUCUUGAACAAAAGCUCUGCCUUAACUGGUUCCAGCAUCUCCACUCCAUGAUAAUCGCCUUUGCCGCCGAAAAGGCCCACCCCUUCCAUGCCCUUCGCCUCCAGCUCCGCCGCCAACUCCCUCUGCUGAUCUAUUAUUGAGUCUCCCCCACCGCCGGCCACCACCACUUUGCCACCCCAGCUUUUUAAUCCUCUCCUACUCCUCUGAUCUCUCCCCAGCCAUUGGUUUGCAACACUCGUGGUCCCGGUCAGCGCCAGCCGGCAGCGCCAGCUCCCACAACAGGUCGGCCCCGUUCACUAGCGUGCUGGGGUUGUUGAACAGCCUCACUUCCGACUUGGUCCUCCGGAACCCACCGGAGAAGGGGUGGUGCAAGAUCAGGCCUCUGAUCACCAAAGGCUCCAGAUCGGCUGUGGCGGAGCAUGCGUGCAGGUCCAACAUGGUACGCGAUGUUCCCGCCGGCGCUCGUACUCAUCAGGUAGCACCGUGAGAAGUCAACGCCCUCGCGAAGCCACUCCUCGUCGCUGGUCCUGACCUAGUGGAGGUCCUCCAGGGCAUCGUCCUAGGCCACGGGGAGGCAAUGCUCCAGAGCGCUGCGGUAGCUGGCAGAGACGAUGAUGGCGCCAAGCUUGGCUACCAUGAGGGAGCAGAAAUUGUGGUUUAUCACCGAGGACGGUGAGGAGAAUACGAAACCGCCGCCAUGGUAAUACACAAUGAGGGGUAGUUUUUGGUCGGGUGGUGGUGAUGGGCGAGGCAUGUAAAUCCGGGCCCAAGUAUUGUGGGUCGGGUUGAGUAGGACAUCCUUGGUGCGGACGGCGAAGGGCUGGUCGGGAUUGGGCACGGCGGGGGUAGUUGGAUCGUCGAUGCCGCGUGUGAUCGUGCCGUCUGGGUUGAGGACAAUUUUGAGGUAGUCAUAGGCGUCGACAGCCGGAGCUGGGUCAAGAUCCGGAUGUUGACCGGCCAUGUUUGGUCUGCUCGAGCUCGAGGUGGGACUGAAGAAAGAAAUGGGGAAACAGUUAUUAAUACCUUGAAGUCAACGAUUAUACUUCUCGCGUCUUCCCUUGCAAGUUCAUCUUUUAGGGGCGCCCAAGAGCCAUCGUGAUUUCUCGAUAAUGGAGUUUCUUAUUAACCCUCGACACUUAAAAAAACAGCUUAGAUAAGGACACAACAACAAAUUCAACACUUCACUCCGUUUAUAAAAAAGAUUAUGCCGAGUUGAUGUCACGAUGUGAGAACAAGAAAAAAAUAGUACUCGUAGAAAGAAUAAAAAGAAUAUCCAUCUAAGCUUCACGCAAAAAAAAAAAAAUGAUAUGAAUUAUCCAUGAACUUUAACUCAAUAUGUAAUGUGAUUCCAAAACUUUUAAUCUGUUCAAUGUGAUCUAUAAACUUUAGCCCAACAUGUAAUGUUAUUUUUAAACUUUUAAAUUAUUUAAUGUUAUCUCUAAACUUUUGGUACUGGUUCAAUUUAGUUUAUGAACAAUAUAAAUAUAUUUAAUAUUGUCUCUGAACUUGUUCUUUGUGGAUGUUCAAGUUCUCUUAAAAAAAAGUCAAAUGUUGUUGAGUGUGAUGGCCAAGAUAAGGAUUUACAUAUAUACAUUAUUGGCACGUGAUCGUGCCAAGCACAACUUUGAGGUAAGUCAUGACCAUCCUCGAUUGUGAUUGAAUCAAGGUCUGAACCAUGACCGGUCAUGUUUGCUUUGCUUGAGGUGGGCAUGAAGAAAGAAUUGGGAAAACAUGAUGUACGUUUAUUCGCCUCAAAUUUUAUGGCAUAAGUAUGUAUUUUUAUUAUUCAGUUUCACAACUUGUGAAUAUUUAUGAUUUCAAAAGCGAUGUUCCUAAAUUAAACAGUGACAAUUAUAAAGUUUUGAAGGAAUUAAUCAAUCCUCAAUCGGGGUGCAUAGAAUUGACUAUGCUAAUCGGAAACAUGAACAACCUGUUCUUGUUGAUACUAGCACUCAAGCUCAAAUUGCUCUUUACAAGCAAUGGGAGUGGUCUAGCUGCCUCAAUGAAAUGUUCAAAAGACUAAAAUGUGUACUAGUAUUUGUUGUUCAGUUGUUCAGCAUUGCAAUGCAUUAGCAUUGUUGAGGGCUAUUGAUACGAUAUUUGAGACUUAAAAAAAACGUAUGCCUUGACCCUGAUUAGGGAUAAGUGGAAUAGAAGUCCUAAAACUUGUUACGAAAAUGCAAUUGAAUUUUAAAACUUGCAAAAAGUGCAAUCAAGUCCUAAAACUUGUCAAAUUAGUUCAAUUGAAUCCUAAAAUUAACACUGUUAGACUUACUGGCGGAAAAUACUGAUGUGGCGUGGACAUGGCAUUUUAAAAUUAUUUUUUUAUUCAAAAUUAGAUUUAAAAACUAAAAAAGAAAAGCUAAAAUUUAUUUUAAAAACUUAAAAAAAAGGAAAAAGAAAAUGGUAGCUCCUCCGCCACCGCCGCCCAUCACUGGAGGGGCCAGUGACGGUCAUCGGCCUUGGGCAGAGCAGGCAAGGCCUCAUCAACCCCAGGUGAGGGCCGGUAACCCUCGCCUAGUGCGGGCGAGCCUUGCCGACGACUAUCACCGGCCCCCCCUGAGGGUUAGCGUGCCCAGAUUUGGGCGCCCUCGCUUGGGGCCAGCGAGGCCUCACCUUGGUCGGGCGGGGGCCGACGACCUCCACCCAAGGCCGGUGACCAUCGCCAGCCCUUCUGACAAUGGGCGGUGGCGAUUGCGACGGAGGAGCUGCCAUUUUAUCUUCUUUUUUUUUAAAACAUUUUUUAAAAUAAAUUUUAGCUUUUCCUUUUUAGUUUUUAAAUCUAAUUUUGAGUAAAAAAUAAUUUUAAAAAGCCAUGUGGAAAAUAAAAAAUUAUUUAAAAUGCCACGUCGUCAUUUUCCGUUAGUAAGUCUGACGAUGUUAACUUCAGGACUUAAUUGAACCAAUUUGAUAUGUUUUAGGACUCGAUUGCACUUUUUGCAAAUUUUAGGACUCAAUUGCAUUUUCGUAACAAGUUUUGGGAUUACUAUUGCACUUAUCUCCCUUGAUUAUGAAGUUGUUAUCUUUAAAGCUCACUAUUGUUAGAGGUGUGUGUCGGCAUAUCAUGAAGAUGAGGGAUGUUAUUACUUAGUUGAAGAAUGUUGACGUUGAGAUAUCUGGAUCAUUCCUUGUAUACCACAUUCUAAACACUUUUCUACAAUAAUAUGCACAUUUCAAGAUCUCUUAUAACACGUAGUAAGUACAAUUCAAAUGACAAUACUUUCCUAUGACGUUAAUUUAAGUGUCAACUUUUUUUCGUUCACUUAAGUGCCACAUAUUUGAAAAGUCGAUCUCUUGAGUGCCACUUCUGAUUUGACUUGUUGGAAAAGCUACCAUGGCAUUACAAUAAAAUUAAACUUGCCAACGUGUCUCGCCGACAAGUUGAGUCAGCAAAUGAGAUGGUAAACGACGUCGUUCACCCAUAUAAUUAUAAGAAGUGAAGGGGCUUCACAAAUUGGGGCAAAAUCUCAAUUUCAUUCUUCAUGAACCUUAACCCUAACCUUCGAUCCACAGACUCUAUUUAAUUUCAGGGCAAAUCAUCUCAUCAAAUUCACAAUGGGGAGCAAAAGCAAGAGAAACGGCUCAUGAAUUUCCGAACAAUGUGAAGAUGAAAGUUAGUAUUUAUGCUUUUGUGGAUUGCGAAAUCCAACAAGAGUUUUUUGGACAAGAGAAAAUCCUGGGAGAAGGUUCCAUGGAUGCACUAGGUAUAAAGAAGACUUCAAUUGUGAAUAUUUCAAGUGGGUUGAUGUGGAAUUUUCGAAUCAAGCGAUGAAGGUAAUCUUGGAGCUCCUUCAAGGACAACAUGGAUUUGCACUUGUAAUGAAAGAUGAGUUGGAUAGUACCUACUCUAUGUAAGCAGAAAAAAAAGGUCUAAAUUUUUUUUUAUGAAUCAUUUAAAAAAAUGAAGUUUCAAGUAUAAAGAUUGAAAGAGAUAUUUAUCGAGUGUUGUUUCUCUUAAUGUUGUUGAGUUUGGUUUGGCUUGUGGUCAUAUGUAAUCUCACUAACAAGAAGAAGUUACUGAGUCUACCGUAGUUGAAAAACAAUGAAAUGUGUUUCUGUAGUUGGUGCAAUAACUUUGUUUUCUUUUUUUAAUGAUAUAUAUGGGUGGGUUACUGGUUUUGUAUUAACUUGAAGGUUGAAUGGCCGGGUGGAUAUUGGUGGACGUUGAGUUUUUUGAUGCAAUUUGAGUCCUAUUGUUGAUUUAUACAAAGAAUAGAUGGCUUGACACUCGCGGUAGUGCAGUAAGAGAAGGGAUGGUCCUGCAUUUUGUUGUUGGUUUUAGUGUUUCUACAUAUGUUGAAGGACAAUUGAAGUUUCAAAUAAUUUUACAAAUGAUCAUUUAAAUGCCAUUUUUUUUUUAAAAAUGAACACUUUGGUUCAUCAAUUUUUUAAGAAUUAUAACUUAGGUUCCUUAACUUUUUAAAAGUGAUGACUUGGGUUCAUCAACUUUUUAAUUAAGUUAUUGGUUUCACUUUUAUCAAACACAUAUUGCAUCGUGUAAUAGCUUAAAGCAGAUUAUCAUCCUAUAACAACAUACAAAAUAAGACUUCUUUUGACAAAUAUCAUCAGUUAUGGCAUGAUUUAACCCGAAAUGACAUUACAUCAUACACAUUGCACCAGAAGGUCUUUUACAUCAACAUCGAUGUAAUGAUAAUAUGAAAUAAAAUAAUCUCGACCACCUUAUAAAUUCAAAUCCAAAACAACACUCCUGUUGCUAAACACAUCUCUAGCCAAAAUAUAUUAAUAAUCUCCACCGCCUUACAACAAAAUCCUAAAAUCUUAAACAUUAACACAUAACAACAAACAUAAAAAGAUGGCAUCCACCCAUUGAUCAAUCUAAAGAUUCUUAUCACUUCAUUUUUUUCUUCUUCAAUAGUUUCAUUUGAUUCAUGAGUCUUGUACUCUUAUGAACUAGAAUUCUAGUUACAUCAUUCACUCGUGUACCUUUUCUCAUUAUCUUAUCUUUUAAAGGAUCCGUUGUUUUUCUUUAAGUUUUGCAUGUUUUGGUGUUGCCUAUUGUUGAAGCUUUUGUAAUUAGUAUUGGCACUGUGGUAGAAGGUUGCAAAUUCCCAUGAUCAUUCAUAUGAGGUGGACUUGAUGUUGAAGUCUUAUUUGAUGCCUAUUUUCGAGCCGCCUUCUAUUUUGGACUUGUCAUUAGUUGUUUCUUCAAUUGUGUUUGAGUUACCAUUGAUUGGUUUAUUGAUGCUUGCCCUUGGCUUCUUCUUAUAGAUGCAGUCAAUUUUUGACUUGGUCCUCCUUGAGAUAUCAACACUUCCAAACUUCUCCAAGGUUACAACCACAUAAAUUUCAUUAAUUACCAUGUCAAACAAAUCGAAUACAUUAAAUGCAUAACAACUAAAAAACUGGCAUUCAAAACUAUCAUAUCAAUAUUCAUAUCUGUAAACAACUCAUAGCCAUGUUCUCUUAUCAUUCUCCCAAUUGCACCAUGUGUAUAUUAUAGUGUAAAAUUUUCUGAAACUAAAACCUCUUUACUUUUUUCUUUUUAUAACCUGUAAAAUAAUAUGACAAAAUAUGAAUUUAUUCCAUGACAAAAUACAUAAUACAACAACAAUAACUAUAACAGACACCUUACUUGAUAUUUACUUUUCUGUUAUACACUAUUGGACUCAGUUCGCCUUGUAGUUGGUUUUACAUUGCUUUAUGUGUUGCUCGAACAUGCCUCUACAUCACUAGGCUGUGUCGUCACUUGCUGCUGCUGCUAUUAUUGCUUCUUAGUUGGAUAACCAGUCUUGUUGUGCCAUUUCCUAUAACAAUGUGAGUAUCGAACCAUUCCACUAGCCUUACUUAUUGUAUUAGUGCUACUCUCAAUUUCCUACUUUUUUUUCCUUUUUAAGCCUAUCGACUUGCUUCUUCAGUGGUAGAGGCUCUAGGACCGAUGGUUUGUUUUGUCCAAAAACUUGCUACUCCUUAGAGGCUAUAGCAUGAAUUGGUAUGCUGCAAAAAUAGUUUUUUUUUUCUUGUCACAGUCUUCCACAUAAUCCUGUAAAUUGAGUUGCUUUAAUUGGAUGGCACAAAUUACAUGUGAACAAUGUAUUCCAUUCAACUGCCAUGCUUGAUAGAAAUAUUUUCUCUUGAAAUGAACAACAUAUUUGUCACCAUCAUUCAUGAUCUCAAAUCCAUUGUCUUCAUUCUAAAUUGAAUGACAGAACCUACUAGCAGCAACGUUAUCUUCCAAUUUUUUUACAAUCUUAAGCCAAUAUUGUCUAAGCCACUUCGAACAUUCACUUUCUAUUUUUAUAGUCUCGUUAUCACCAUAAAUUUAAUGUCUUUAAGCAUACUGACAAUUGAUUUGCACCUCACUUAUAUAAUCCCGCCAUUGAAAGUCUUGCAAAUGUUGUUGUCAAUAUUAUUGUACUUGAAUUUCUCACUAAAAAAAGCUAUACAACAAUGCUUUAUUUCAAUUUGGAAUAAUGUUUCACAAGCUUUAGUUAACAAUGCAUGUAAAGCUUAUUUGUGAAUUUUGAAAUCUGCUAUAUUUGAACUCUUUGCAAUCAACUAAAACUAUUUAUGCUGUUGGUCACCUUUAUACUUCUUCGCCUCAUUUGCAUAUAUGUGUUGAGCACACAUUCUAUACUCGACAUAUUGCAUUAGCUUGGCUAUAGCUAAAACAAUUCCCUGUAAAAUCAUCCAACAUUUGUAAAUUACAUUAAUAAUAUGCCGAACCUUUUCCAUCAGUUAUUCUAAGUUUUGGAGAAAACUUUCGUAUUUGUUUUGAAGCUGGCAAAACAUUUCCAUCAGUCUAGUCUGAAGACUUGUAGACUCUUUCGUCAAAGUCUGAAGACCGCCGAACCUCCAGACUCAAGAUUCAAAGUCUACCCUCAUUGAUAGUUUCUAGACCGUCGAAGAAGACUUAUCCAGAAUUGAGUAUUUCGUUAAGGAUUUGAUUCUAUCGACUGAAGAAGAUCUCUCGGCUGGAUAUAGCAUCUUGGAAUCUAUUAUUCAUUUUGAUUCGGGUAAUUUAGAUCCGUUAAUUGACGAAUCAUACGUGGAAGGUUCUACUUAUGGAAACUUGGAUCCUGAUUGUAUGGACAAGCAGGAUUGAUGGGCUAUCGUCAUAUUCCUUAAAUAAUUCGAGAUCUCCCUAAUUGAUUCUGUCUAACAGGUAGAUUUGAAGAACUCAUUUGGAAAAUGUCAACGGUUAUGAAGGCAUGAAGGAGUAUAUAAGGAAGAUGUUCUAGUUAUUCAAGUGUGUGCACGGUAGAAGAAUUCCAAAGUUUGAAGCUCCUUGUUCUUUGUCAAUUCAAUUGUUGAGCAUAAACUUGUACUCAAAAGAGAGUUUAUACACUUGUGAGAUCUUGAGGAAGUGUAGCGAAGUCUCUACACUGUGGAAUUAAGGACGUGAUACUGUAACGACUCUUUUGAUUCAUAGUGAAAUUCAGCUGGUGGGUUGUCAGUGCGGGAGAAUGGACGUAGGCUUGGAUUAAGUCGAACCACUAUAAACCUUGUGUUCUUAUUCUCUUCCCUAAACUCUUUUACUUUAUUCGUAACUUUAUUUAACUGUUAGAAUCUCGCUUCUAUCUUAAAGUCAACUGUUAAACAGACUCAGGUUAAAUUCAGAGUUUUAUUCUGUCCUUCGCAAAAGUUUGUUUUCGCACCUAUUCACCCCCUUUAGGUGCUCAUACUAGUAUUCACAAUUGGUAUCAUAGCCUGUGUACUCAUUUAAAUUGAAGUGUUUUUACUUCAGAGCUAACGAUCCAUGGCUAGUAUGUUGGCUCCAGGCUUGGUUAAAGGGCAAAACAAAACCAGACUGCCAUACUGUGAUGGGAAGGAAUACAACAUAUGGAAAAAAUAAAAUGAAGGCGUUCCUGAGAUCGAAAGACCCUCUUGAAUGGGAUGUGGUAGAUAAAUGAAUUAUUCCUAAAGCUACAACAGUCUCAGAAAGGGGAAAGAAAGUUGUUGAGUCCAGCGAUAUGAUUUAAGAAGAGAUAACCAAGAAACAAGCUCUUGAUGCAAAAGUAAUUUAUUCUUUAUAUUGUGCAUUGUCUUCUACUGAAUAUAACAGAAUAUCUUCUUGUGAAACAGCUAAAGAAGUCUGGGAUAGAUUGCACAUCACCUAUGAAGGAAUUGAUCAAGUUAAAGAAACCAGAAUCAAUAUUUUGCUUGGUCAAUAUGAAGCAUUUAGGAUGAAACCAAGAGAAUCUAUCACUGACAUGUUUAGUCGUUUUACAGAAAUCGUGAAUGGUCUUGAGUAUCAAGGUCAACCAAUCUCUGGAUCCAUGAAGGUUAACAAGCUACUACGUGGACUUUCCAAAGAUUGGAAUCACGUAAAAACCUCAAUAAGAGAGACACAAAGAAUCAUGCUGCUCUUUGUUGACGAAUUAGUUAGCACUCUUCAGUCUUAUGAAGUGGAGCAAAUCAAUGAAGAUAAGGAUCCCAAAGGUAAAAAAUCUAUUGCAUUAAAAUCUAAUGAUGAUUUUGAUGUUACAGAUUCUGAAGACGAUAUGGACGAUGAAGAGCUUGCUCUCAUGAUAAGAAGGUUCAGAAAACUGAACAAGAAGGGAAGAAGAUUCAAUUCAAAGAAACAAAGUUCUCAAAAGUUUCAAAAUAAAUCGGUUGAGGAUGAUGAUUCUAACAAAGAUGUGGUUUGUUUUGAAUGUAAGAAAAAUGGACACAUCAGACCAAACUGUCCCUUACUAAAGAAAAAGAAAGGAAAAGCUGAGAAGUACAGAAAAGCUCUCAAGGUAGAAAUUUGGAGUGAUACUGAGUGUGAAGAGAGUAAUGAUGAUUAUGCUAAUAUUUGUCUAAUGACAUAAUCAGACUCAGACAGUGAAAUCGAGGUAAGUAAUUUAAAAAUUCAUACUAAAGUCUCUAAAUAUAUUGAUGAAUUGUGUCUUAGUCUCAAAACCUCUCUCAAGAGGAUUUUCGAACUAAAAAGAGAAAACUCAUUACUGAAGCAACAAGAGAUUGUUUGGAAAGAAAAAGUCGAAAAUUUGGAUAAAAAUGUUAUUGCUUUGAAAUAAAAUGCAGACUCACUUUCAAAAGAAAAUAUAUUUUUGAAAAAUGAUAUCUCAAGUAUUUCAAAAAGGUUUUCUAUAGGUUCUGAGAAAUUAGAAAAGAUUAUUUUGGCACAAAGACCUUACUUUAACAAAUCAGGUUUAGGAAUGACUACUGAAACCAUUCCUCUAAUUGAUUUUCCUAAAGUAAAGGAAAGAAUUAAACAAAGACCUACAAAAGAUUUUUAUAGAAAUCAUUUUCAAAAAAUCUUUGUAAAAUCUGUAGGUCGUAGUGCUAUCAAAUGUUCUAAGUGCAAUAGCUCAGAUCAUUUUGAGAAAGAAUGUCCUAUGGUUUGAAAAUCUGUUAAGAAGGUUUGGGCAAAGACCGUAUAUUACACUAACUCCAUUGGACCCAAGAAAAUAUGGGUACCAAAGAAAGCUUGAGUUUCUUUUCUAAAUGCAAGUCACUAUCAAGAAAAAAUGUUAAAUGGUACUUGAAUAGUGGAUGCUCAAGACAUAUGACAAGAGACUCAAAUUGUUUCAUAAAACUUGUGCAAGUUAAUGGUGGAAAAGUCUCUUUUAGAGGAAAUAGCAAAGAUAGAAUUGUGGGUUACGGAACCGUAAAGACUGGAAGUCUCAUAAUCAAUAACGUUUCCUUAGUGGAAUGACUCAACUACAACUUAUUGAGUAUCGGCCAAUUGUGCGACACAGGUUACAAAAUCAACUUUCAAGAAUGAGUAUGUUUAGGAACUAGUAAAGAUUCAUCUCAGACAUUCACGGGGAGAAGACAUGGAAAUAUAUAUCUCUUGGAUAUCAAUCUAGAAAAAUCCCAAUGUCUAAUUUCAAUUCAAGAGGAAACUAAUCUCUGACAUAGAAAACUUGGGCACAUCAACAUGAAGCAAAUAGCUAAGAUCUCUGUAAAGAAGCUUGUUCGUUGAUUACCCAACCUGACAUAUCAAAAAUCUGAAUUAUGCACACCGUGUGUAUUGGGAAAAUAGGUUAGAAACUCUUUCAAACCAAUAAAUCAAGUUUCCAUUAAUCGUGUGUUACAGUUCUUACUUAUGGAUCUUUUUGGACCAACCAGAACUCAGAGCAUUGGAGGUAAGAAAUAUUGCUUAGUGAUAGUGGCUGAUUAUUCAUGAUUCACUUGGGUAUAUUUCCUGGCAAGUAAGUCUGAAACAUUUUCUUAUUUUAUCAAAUUUGUUAAGAAAGUACAAAAUGAGAAAGGGUAUGUUAUUUCAAGUAUAUGGACAGACCAUGGAGGUGAGUUUGAAAAUCAAGACUUUGCUAAAUUUUGUGAUGAAUAUGGUUUUUAGCAUGUAUUCUCCUCACCAUACACUCUAGAACAAAAUGGAGUUGUGGAAAGGAAGAAUAGAUCAUUGCAAGAAAUGUCUAGAACUUUAUUAAUUGAAAGUAACAUUUCCUCUCGUUUUUGGGUUGAAGCAAUUUUUACAGCGUGCUAUAGUAUUAAUAGUCUUCUUAAAGCCUAUUAUGGAGAAAACUUCCUAUGAGUUGUUCAAAGGAAAGAAGCCAAUUGUCUCCUAUUUUCAUGUGUUUGGAUGCAAAUGUUUUAUAUUGAAAAAUGCAAAUGAUCAAAUUGGUAAGUUUGAAGAAAAAUCAGACGAAGGAAUCUUCCUUGGAUAUUUAACCACCAGCAAAGCUUAUAGAGUAUACAACAAAAAGACUCAAUCUGUGAAAAAUCAAUGAAUGUCAAAUUCCAAGACUUUAUGCAAAAUUAAUCGAUUCAGACUCAACUUGAAGAUUCUAAACCUGCUCCAGACUCUACAAAGUCUAAAUCUUUAGAAGCAGCUCAGACUUUAGAAGACCAACAACGAAUGAUCGUUGAAGAAUCAAAUGAAGAAAAAGACCAACAGUCUGACAAAUCAACCGGCAAUUGGAAGCACAAGUCUAGUCAUCCCAAAGAACUCAUUAUUGGUGACAUUAAUGAGGGAAUUCGUACAAGAUCCAAAAGGCGUGAAGAGUCUAGUGUUGUGGCUCUUAUUUCUGAAAUAGAACUCAAGAGCAUAGAAGAAGUUUUAACUGAUGAAAGCUGGAUUGAAGCUAUGCAAGAAAAACUCAGGCAAUUCAGUAUCAAUGAUGUCUGGGAAUUGACUCCUAAACUGAAAGGUAAAUCUAUCAUUGGAGCUAAAUGGGUUUUUAGGAACAAGAUGAACGAGAAAGGAAAAGUUGUAAGGAACAAAGCAAGAUUCGUGGCCAAAGAAUAUACGCAAGAAGAAGGGAUAGACUAUGAUGAGACUUACGCACCAGUAGCAAUGUUAGAAACAAUUAGAUUAUUACUUGCUUUUGCAUAUUAUAAGAAUUUCAGGUUAUUCCAAAUGGACGUCAAAAGUACUUUCUUAAAUGGAUUUAUCUAAGAAGAAGUCUAUGUGGAACAACCUCCCGAUUUUGAAGAUCCAAGGAAACCAGACUCUGUAUUCAGACUAAAAAAGACGCUAUAUGGUUUAAAGCAAGCACCUCAAGCUUGGUACGACAGGUUAAGUAAGUUUUUAAUUCAAAAUUACUUUGUUAAAGGUAAACUAGAUACUACAUUAUUUAUCAAAAGAGAAAGCAAAAACUUUUUACUUGUUCAAAUUUAUGUUGAUGAUAUUAUUUUUGGAUCUUCUAACGAAAAUCUGUGCAAGAAAUUCUCUAAAACUAUGCAGGAUGAGUUUGAAAUGAGCAUGAUGGGUGAACUAUCCUUCUUUCUUGGACUUCAAGUAAAAUAAUUGAAGAAAGGAACUUUCAUCCACCAAGAAAAAUAUGCUAAAGAACUUGUUAAAAAGUUUGGAUUGGAGAAUUGCAAAAAGACUAAUAUACCAAUGUCAAGUUCCUUGAAGCUAGAUAAAGAUGAAGGAGGAAAGAAAGUUGACCAGAAGCUAUAUAUGAGUAUCAUUGGUUCACUUAUUUAUCUUACUACUUCAAGACCUGACAUUUUGUUUAGUGUUUGUAUUUGUGCCAGAUUUCAAUCAGAUCCCAACGAAUCUCAUUUAAGUGCUGCAAAACGCAUCAUUAAAUAUGUUGCAUCAACUUCUAAUUUGGGUCUCUGGUAUCAUAAAGAAUGAGACUUUACUCUCAUAGGAUAUUCAGAUGUAGACCUAGCAGGAUGCGGAGUUGAUAGAAAGAGCACCUUAGGCACUUGUCAAUUACUUGGGAACAUGACAGUAUCUUGGUUUUCAAGGAAGUAAAGUACUGUAGCUCUUUCAACAGCAGAAGUAGAAUAUGUGGCUCUUGGAAGUUGUUCACAAAUUUUGUGGAUAAAGCAACAGCUAAGAGAGUUUGGAAUCGAAGACUUAUGCACCGAGAUAAAAUGCAACAACACCAGCGCGAUUAAUCUCACAAAGAAUCCAAUUCUUCAUUCGAGAGCAAAGCACAUAGAAAUUCGAUAUCAUCUUAUUAGAGAUUAUGUUCAAAAUGGAGAAGUCUCGAUUCAAUUCAUUGACUCAAAGAAUCAACUAGCAGACAUAUUUACAAAGCCUUUGGAGAAAAGUCAAUUCGAGCUUAUUCGUUUCAAACUCAAUAUCUUAAAGUCUGAAGAAGUUCAGACUCGAGGAUAAAAGUCUAAAGAUACUCAGACUUAGAUGAUCAAGAUUCAUGACUGUAAGUUAUUUCUAUUUUAGAAUUUUAUCUAUUGGAUAAAAUCUCGAAAAGGUACGAUCAUCUAUUAAUCUGUAAUUGAUUGAUGUUAUCUUCUCCAGUUUUCAUGAUUAUUGCAAUCAUUCCUUUUUCGAAAAAGAAGUUAUUUUUGAAAUGACGGUUAUUUAUUUUUUCAAAAAGGCAGUUAUUUUUUGAAAAUGCAUUUUUAUUUUUCCUUUUACGUCGUUCCUUAUACCUCUUUUCGACUGCUUUAUAUACUGAUCGUCUUCCUCACAAACCCUAAAAGCACAGACCAUCACUUUCUUAUUUUUACUCUCUAGUUUAAUCUUCAAAGUUCUAACAUUUUUCGUGAAUCGAGUUUGGAAUCUCUCAAAGACUAUGCGAAUGACUUCACAAAGAAAGUCUUCAAGGAUCGCGAACAGGGGACCAUAACUCAUGUGUGAGGGUCCUACGCAUUUUGACCUCACCGAGGAAGAAGAAUCUCCCAGACAGCAGCAGAGCCCACAACAUUCUCAAUCGCGUCAAUCUCCUCAAGCUAGACCUCAUAGUGUUGAUCAAAGAGCGGAGGAAGAAAUUAUUGAAGAGGCUGAACCCGUAAGAACUCAAAAGCCUGUUUUUAUCUUUAAACUUUACUCUGCUUUGAAGAAUGGAGGCACUCCCUUGAACUAUAUUGAUGCAUUUUUGAAAGAGAAAGGGUAUCAAAAUGAAACCCAUUUUUUUGCGAACAAUGGAACGAUUGGGGAUUGCUCAUGUAGGGUCGGCAGAACGAGCAUUUGCGAAUAUUCCCAGUGAUCCACAUGUUGGGGGUCUUAGUCAGCCUGAUGGGAAUGAUGAUGACAAAAUGUACACUCAUUUUAAGCCUAGAAUGGGUGUUGGGGCGAAUAUUUGAAGCAAAAGGACAAACUUGUUUCGCUCGGAGGAACACAAGCGAUUUUACUCUAAGUUGCUAAAAAGAGGGGUGAUCAAUCCGAGAAGUAUAGACUUUGAUUUUCUUGAUUCUUUGAAUGUGAAGCUACAAGAGAAAUUCACUCAACUUCAGCUUGAGCAAUUUUGUUCUAAGACAACAGAGGCAUGUCCAGAGCUUACUACUUAUUUCUAUUCUAAUAUAAGUUUUUUGGAUGCGAAUAGAUUUUCUUUUAGUGUUCAAGAUUAGGACUAUAUUGUUGACAUGGACACAUUGGCGGAUGUGAUUGGAGUAGAGCGAGGGGCAUUCCAAUCGAUUAGUGUGUCUGUUGGCUGUGCGACAGUAUAGCUUGUUCGUGAUAGAAUGGCAGGAGGAAGAAUUUCGUACUUGAGGAUAAAUGCCUCAAACAUUUUGCUUCACAAGAUUGUGAUCAAUUGUCUCAGACCCAAAUCGACUUCGAAAACCGAUGUCUCCAACUCAAAAGCAAAGUUGAUGUAUGCUAUCAAUGGUGGGAAAAAGUUCUCUCUGUCUCACACAGUCAUGUUUCACAUGUACAGAACGAUGGUGAAAGAUAAGGGACAACUUCCUUACUCAACGCUUAUCAUAAAGUUGUUCAAACACUUGAAUAUUCAGCCUCUUAGGAUUCUGUGUGUUCAAUCCUGUGAUCAAAUGGUGGUGGGACUGAAAAUGGUUUCUAAAAUGCGUCUGAAAGAGCUAGACAAGGCUUUGGAGUGAUUGAAGGAGAAAACCCUUGUCAAGACUCACCAAGGUUCUUCAACUGCAAAACGGAAAGGGAAUGAGCCCAUGACAGCUCAAUCUAAGAAAAGAAGAGCACUCGUCCUGGAGGAUGAAAAGGACGAGGACGAUAUUACCAUUUCCGCUCUUGCACUGAGAAAUCUACAAAGUGCUGUUCUAGAGACUGAGGAGAGAGAGGAUCAAGAUGAAGAAAAGGAAAGGAGUGGAGAGAGAGAAACAAUGCGAAAAGCAGCAGAGGAAGAAAGGAUUGCAGAAGAAGAAGGUAGAAGUGAACAGGAGGAACUAGAGCAUGAAGCGUACUUCUCACCUCCUGAAGGCAUUGAAACAUGGGGAGUUGCUAAGAAAAGAGGUACAUCUUCAAUUGCUUUUACUAGUGAAGAUGUUAGUCAUUCACCUGCAGAUCCAGAAGAAAUCUAUGCAUAUCAAUUUCUAGAGGAAGGUCAUGAGGUUUCAUCGCCAAAUCUGAGUGACCAUGCUGGCUUGCCAUUAUUUGCAAAUACUCCUACUGAUCAUGCAGAAGCUAGCACUUAGACUGAUAAUUCACCAGACUUUCGAAGACUGCUUGAUAUUCUUAUGGAGAUGCGAGGACAGAUCUAUACUCUGGGAUGCAAAGUUCAGAACUUGUAGAAUGCAAGUCAAGCCUCUUCAGUUUCCUUACAUGAUCAAAUCCAUGUCCUUGCUCUUCAAGUUCAAGCAAAUGCCAAGGGUGAAGAAGUUGCUCAAUUGAAGGAGGAUUUGAAAAAGCUAGAAGGGAUCGUCCAGUCGAUGGGAGAUUUCUAGCUCAUUCGCGUUCCCAAGCAAUCUUGAUUUCAUUAUCUUUUCGUGUCUACCUUUUUCAUGUUGACAAAAAGGGGGAGAUGUUGCAGAUUUGAGAUUUAACUCUUGUUUGACUUGAUGUUUGAUUGACUUUUACUUUUGUUUGGUUGUUUGGUUGUGACUGGAUUUGGAUUUGGAUUGUUUGAUCGUUUGAAUAUUUGCUGCAGUAUCUUAAGCACUGUUGGUAUUUCAUGGCAAAGAUAGUUGUUUGUUUACAGGACUAACUUUCUUAUUUCCUGUGGAUGCAGAUCUAAUGUUAUCUUUACUAAGUCAAUUAUCUUUUGUGAAAUAUCCAUGUUUGCUUGAGUAUUGUCUUGUAGGUCAAAAGUAUCCAAAUCUAUAGGAAAGUUUUGUCACAAUAAAAAAUGGGGAGAUUGUUGGAGAAAACUUAUGUAUUUGUUUUGAAGCUCACAAAACAUUUCCAUUAGUCUAGUCUGAAGACUUGCAGACUCUUUCGUCAAAGUCUGAAGACCGCCGAACCUCCAGACUCAAGAUUCAAAGUCUACCCUCAUUGACCGUUUCUAAACCGUCAAAGAAAACUUAUCCAGAAUUUAGUAUUUCAUUAAGGAUUUGAUUAUAUCGACUGAAGAAGAUCUCUCGGCUGGAUAUAACAUCUUGGAAUCUAUUAUUCGUUUUGAUUGGGGUAAUUUAGAUCCGUUGAUUGGCGAAGCAUACUUGGAAGGUUCUACUUAUGAAAACUUAGAUCCUGAUUGUAUGUGCGAGCAAGAUUGAUGGGUUAUCAUAACUCGAGAUCUCCCUAAUUGAUUCUAUCCAACGGGUAGAUUGGAAGAACUCAUUUGGAAAGUGCCAACGGUUAUGAAGGCACGAAGGAGUAUAUAAGGAAGAUGUUCCAAUUAUUCAAAUGUGUGCGCGAUAGAAGAAUUCCAAAGUCUGAAACUCCUUGUUCUUUGUCAAUUCAAUUGUUGAACAUAAACUCAAGAGAGUUUAUACACUUGUGAGAUCUUGAGGAAGUGUAGCGGAGUCUCUACACUGUGGAAUCAAGGACGUGAUACUGUAACGACUCUUUUGAUUCAUAGUGAAAUCCAGUCGGUGGGCAAUUGUUGAACAUAAACUCUUAUACACUUGUGAGAUCUUGAGGAAGUGUAGCGGAGUCUCUACAUUGUGGAAUCAAGGACGUGAUACUAUAACGACUCUUUUGAUUCAUAGUGAAAUCCAGCCGGUGGGCUGUCAGUGCGGGAGAGUGGACGUAGGCUUGGAUUAAGUUGAACCACUAUAAACCUUGUGUUCUUAUUCUCUUUCCUAAACUCUGUUACUUUAUUCGUAACUUUAUUUAACUGUUAGAAUCUCGCUUCUAUCUUAAAGUUUACUAUUAAACAGACUUAGGUUAAAUUCAGAGUUUUAUUCUGUCCUUCACAAAAGUUUGUUUUCGCACCUAUUCACCCCCUCUAGGUGCUCAUACUAGCAUUCACACUAAGAUCAGUCAUCAGAUUUUUCAAAAAUCAAAACCAAUUGUCCUUGUUUUUUUUUUUUUUUUUUUUUUAAUUUUUACCAUAGUCCAAGUUAUUGAAAAUAUUUGGUUGUUUCCAUCCCUCCCGAUGGUAGGCAAAAACUCUCCCUUACAUAACCCUUUCAAAAAAUACCCAUCUAAUCCGAUCACUUUUCUACAUCCAACUAAAAAUCAUUUUCUACAAGCAUCAAAGUAUAUGUACAUCCUAUCAAACUGUGUCCUAUGAUUAGAUAAGGGUUUCUCCACAACUUUUACAUGAAUUCUGUCAGGUGAAUUUUACAACUUACAUUCCAUAACAUAGUCUGAAAUCUUUGCAUAUUUUCCUUAUAAAUUCCCAUCAACGUAUUCAUCACCUCGUAGUAAGUCCAUUUGCACUAAUUGUGAAAAACAUGUACACCUACCUACUCUUUCAUUAGUUAUUUCAAUUGAGAAAUUUUGAUAUUUGACAUUGCUUUGAUGAUAUUGAAAAGUACUUAGCCAACAAACAUUAGUCACUUUUUUAUUCUCAAACACAAUACCACAUGUAUACUUCUCUUGUAGUGAUCGAAUAUGGAAUGAGUCAUUCUUCUUACUCAAUGCCACUAUAUAUUGUUCAUGGACGAUUGUCUUGUGCACACUCUGCUUUAACAAAAUUAUUGGUAUUUCUAAUAAAUUUAGGAUUUCGUCAUUGAGAGAUUGAGUACCUGACAAUAGUAUCUCUAAAUUGCUUAACAUCAUCAAAUGGCAUUGAUACACAAAAAGACAGGAUUUAUACUAGUUUAAUCAUAAGAAGGAUAUGACUUCCCAUUUUAUGUUGCGUUGCACCAUCUUCAUCAUCAUCCUCAUGGUUGUCGCCGUUAUUACGACAACUUUCCCCAUAAAUAAAAUCAUCACCAUCAGCUAUAAGAGCUCUUGCAUCUCUAUUUACUGCACCACCUUCAUUCAUUGGCCCACAUUGUGCUUUUCUUCUUUUUUCGAAUGCCCUGACCUCUUCUCUUACUUGUGUGAUGUCCUCAUCGUUAACAUCACUUGUACAAAUGGUAUGCACAAAUGUUUCAUCAUUUUCAUUGCUGGGCAAUGCAAUAUCCCAAGCGUCUAGGGUUAUUUUAGUCGAUUCUUCAACAAAUGUAUCCUCACCAUUAGAUAUGCAUUCGGUAUCCUUAAGAGGCUGAAAUAUCUCUAACACAAAUCAUGUAUACAAAUCUACGGCGUCCUCUACUCUCACAUAUCCUUCCAAAAUAGCUCCAACACUAACUUAAGUUUCAAUAGUAGUUUUCAACACUAUUUGCCCAUAUUCUUCAUCGUAAUUAGACACCCGGACCCCUGGAGUGCCAAAAGUUGGCACAAAGGGACACUUAAGUGCUGAAAGUUACUAAAGUGACAUUUAAGUGCCAAAAUUGGAGCAAAAUGGAUCACUUAAGUGCCAAAAUCGGAGCAAAAUGGAUCACUUAAGUGCCACCGGCGAGAAAAUCCAACCAAAACGCUAACGUGGCAAUUUUCAAACGGGCUAUACGCAAAAUGACGUCAUUUUUGUAUGCUUAUGUGGUUAAACAGUGUCAAAACGACGUCGUUUGGUAUAAUUCGAAUUUUAAUAUAAUAAUGAAUCAAAUUUUUAAAAAUGAAUUAAUUUAAAAAAAAUGAGGGGGGAAGGAGGAGGAGGGAGGUAGCCGAUGGGCUGAGGGCUCAGCCCUCAUGAUUGUCGCCACUGCCUCCCUUCUUCACUGGGGAAGUGGGGAGGGUUGGCUAGNNNNNNNNNNNNNNNNNNNNNNNNNNNNNNNNNNNNNNNNNNNNNNNNNNNNNNNNNNNNNNNNNNNNNNNNNNNNNNNNNNNNNNNNNNNNNNNNNNNNGUUUUAAAUUUAAUUUAAUUAAUUUUAUUUAUAUAAAAUCAAAUAUGCCAAAACGACGUCGUUUUGUGUGUGUUUGCUGAUUUGGCAUUCCGGUGAGCCACAUAAGCGAGAAAAUUAAUAAAAAAAAAUGCCACGUAGGAUUUCCAGCAAGGCUCGCAAGAUGUGGCACUCAAGGGCGCGCUUGGUAACGUUUUAUUCAAAAAUUGUUCCAGAGAACAAAAAUAGAAAAAGCUAUUUCUGCUCCAGGAAUAAUUUUUUAAUAGAAUAAGGCGUUUGGUAAACUUGUUUUAGGAAUACAAAAUGAACAGAAACAUGUUUGGUAAAUUUGUGUUCUUUUUUUUGUUUCUUUUAAUUUUUUUAAUAUUUUUAAUAUUUUUUUCUUUUUUUCUUCUUUUGGUUGGUUGCCGGCCUUGGCCAUGGCCGGCGACUGGCCAAUGAGAGUCGGCGGGCUCACCCAGAUCUGGCGAGCCCGAGCUUGCCUAGCCUUGCCCCGCGCCGGUGAGGCUCGGCCUCGUCGGGCCAUCGCCAAGUCGGCGAGCCUCGCCGGUGGCUGGGCGAGCUUGGGCUCGCUAGAUUUGGGUGAGCCCAAGCUCGUCCAGCCAAGGCGAGGCUUCCGAGAAAUAAAUUUUCUUAUUUUUUGGAACACUUCUGAGAAAUAAAUUUUAUCUCUCCUAUUUUUUUCCUCUUUCUUUUCUUCUUCUUUUUUCUUUGGCUAGUCGCUGGCCUUGGCCAUGGCCGGUGACUAGCCGUUGAGGGCCGGCGACCUCACUGGAGUGUUGCCGGUCCCUGUCGAGGCUUGACCUCGCCUUGGCUGGGCGAGCUUGAGCUCGCCCAGAUCCAACGAGGCCGAGCCUCGCCGAGCCACCACUAGGUCCUCGAGGCCGCUGGCCCUCAUCGGCCAGUCGCCGGCCAUGGCUGAGGCCAGUGACCGGCCAAAAGGAAGGAAAAAGAAAAAAGAAAAAAAGGGAAAAAAAAAGAAAAUAGGAAAAAUAAAAUAAAAAUAUUAUAAAAUUAAAAGAAACAAAAAAAUCACACAAAUUUACCAAACGCAUUUAUGUUCUUUUUCUAUUACAGGAACAAGUUUACCAAACACAUUCUUUUGUUCAAAAAUUGUUCCCCGGAACAGAAAUAGUUUAUUUAUUUAUUUAUUUAUUUUUGUUCCCUAGAAUAAUUUUUGAAUAGAAACGUUACCAAACGCACCUUAAGUGUCACUUUCGUAAGUUUUGCCACUUAAAUGUCUAUUUGUGCCAACUUUUGGCACUUGAGAUGUACUUUUGCCAUCGUAAUUAUGUUCAACAUAUACAUAAACAUCAUGACCAUGUAGAAAAUGGUAAACAAGAUCUUUCACCCCAUUAUUGUCGUGCAAAUAUUUUAAAUUAUCUUUAAGAGAUUUAAUAGGUACCUGCUAAUAUAAUUUCGCCAUUUUACAUCUCAAUUGGUCUACUAUAUCCCUUCUAAAAUUGGUAAAUGAUAGUUUACUUAACUGACAAGGACAAUGAUGACUUGCCCACCAAUGUAUUCCUCCUCUUCCCUUGUAAUUCUAAACUCUACUAUAGCAAAUUUUAAUGGGUGCACUUGUAUCGCCCAUGUUAACACUAUACCCAAUACAAUAAAAUUUAUUUCUACAUUAGGGGUCCAUAUCACAAAUAGACAAUAAUAGCAAUCGGUCCCCACAACUCAAGCAAAUGACAAUAUUAAAUCAGACCCCACAACAACAAUAAACAUUCAGUCCUCACAAAUUAAGCAAAUAACAAUAUUAAAUCGGUUCUCACAAUCACAAUAAAAUAUUUUCACUGUCGGCUGGUGAACACCAAUCGACAAAAUCUAAGCAUGAAUGAACUAAAGUAUUCACAUUUACACUGCCCAAACCCCUAAUAAUUUCCCUCCAAUAUGUCGCAUUUUCCCACACUUUGACUCUAUCAAACAACACUAAAUUCGCUCACAUUGUUGGUUAGUCAACACAAAAAAACAAAAAUCACUAACCUUUACUCUUUGUCAACAAUGAUUCCCCACGUCACAACCCCUAACUUUUCCCUCCAAGUUAUUGCCCUUUCAGUCUCUAUCCAGCGAGUAUGGAUGACAUACAACAGUAAACUUGAAGCCCUAAUUUGAGAUUUCAUAUAUAUUUUAAGGGGUUUUGGGCAUACUAAGAUUCAGUGUGGGGUCGAUGAAUCAAUGUCAGGUCGAUGAAGUGGGGCAUCGAUGAAGAUUCGGUUUUGGAUUGAAACCCUAAUUUUGCGAAUAGGGUUUGAAAUAAAAGAGAAAGAGGUCUUCAACCUCGUAUGAGAUGAGAAGAGAAAUGAUGUCAUUUUUGGUUGUUGCACGAAGAGAAAUGACGUCCUUUCUUGAGAGAGAGAGAGAGAGAGAGAGAGAGAGAGAGAGAGAGAGAGAUUGUAUGAAAUGAUGUUGUUUUAGGCAAAAGAAAUGGUGUUGCUUCUAUUAAAGAGGAACUCCGCUUGUUUUUCUAAAUACCCAUCUCGGAAUCGAAAAUUUCAGCUUAUUUUUCUAAAUAUCCAUGUCAUAAUUGGAAAUAAAAAAAUGGAAAAUCAUAAAAUAAAAAAAUAAAAAAUCUAUGUAGGAUGUUUGGCUAGAAAUGACACUAAAGUGAGUGAUUUUACUUCAAUUUGGCACUUAAGUGAGCGAAAAAAAGUUUUGACAUUUAAGUGAAGCCAUACGAAAGUAUUGACACUUAUACUAUAUUUACCCCCUUAUAACACACAUAACAAUAAAUGAUCAAUUAAUGAACUCAUAACCAUGUGUGCUCAAGAAGAAGAGAUGUUGCUUAUGGAAUUGGAAGAGAGUGUUCAUUUGAUAACGCAAGGAAAGAAUAAAGCGCGGGGCAAGACAACUAGAAAAGAAAUGGUAAAACACCCCCUCUCCGAGUUAACAUAAAGAAGGAAUCCAAAUGCUUUUUCUAUAAAAAGAGGGGGCAUACAAAGAAGGGUUGUGCCAAAUUCAAGGCCUGAUUCGAAAGAAAAAAGGUAAUUCAAUCUUAUGUGUUUUUAUGAAUCUAAUAUGAUUAAUAUAAGUUAUAAAACUUGGUGGAUUGAUUUUGGACCUAUAAUCCAUAUUUCAAAUUCCUUGAAAGGUUCUCAUAGAAUUUAGUUGGAAGUAAGUAGUGCAUCCAAGAAAAAAAGAUGGGUUCGCAUAUGGGAACUAUUUGGGACAUGCAUAUUAGUUCUAAGCCGUAGUUUUGUUUUCAAUUUAGAAAUUACAUUUUAUAUUCCAAGUUUCUCUAGAAAUUUCAUUUCAUUUUCAAAAUUUAUACCAUUAGGUCAUUUUUUUAACUUCUUAGAUGCAACCUUUAAUUAAUCUUUUAAAUAUGAUAUACCUAGGAAUUGUAUUUUGUUUAAUGGUCUUUUUUGUAUUAAUUUACAAGAUAAUGCCAAUGCCAUGUAUGUUUAUGAUAAUGUUGGUAUAAAACGAUAUAUUGUGAAUGAAGAUUUAUCUAUAUCGUGUCAUCAAAGAUUACGACAUACCUCCAUAGAAAGAAUUAAAUGAUUAGUAAUUAAUGGAGUACUUAGAACUUUUGAAUUUUACUAAGUAUGACACUUAUGUGGACUGUAUGAAAGGAAAACAAACCAACAAGAUAAAUAACUGUGCUAAAAAGAGUACGGAAAUAUUAGAAACAUAUAUACAAACAUUUCUAGUCCGGAUUUGGAUUCGUAUGGUUAGAAGUACUUCAUCUCUUUCAUAAAUAAUUACUCACAUUUUGCAUAUCUCUACUUGCUUUAUAAUAAGCAUGAAACAUUAGAUACAUUUAAGGCAUUUAAAACCAAAGUAGAGAAACAAAGUGAGAAGAUCCAAUAGAGGUGGGGAAUAUUAUGAUAGAUACAUUGAAGAUGGACUAGCACAUCGAUAUCAAGUAUUUAGCCAUAUAAAAACUGUCACUUUCACUGAAUUGAUGAUUGCUGGUCCUUUAACUAAAGACACAUCAUCAAUGAGUUAUAAGAAUCAUGUAGUUAGGAUGGGGCUUGGCAUAUCAUGUGAUUUUUCAUUGUAUGGAAAUUUUUUUUAUGAAACUCUUAUUCAUUUGUAAUGUUUUUCUCAAUUUGGGGGGGAGUGGACAUCGCAAAUGCCACAACUUGGCACAAAGGAACACUUAAGUUCUAAAAGUUAAAAAAAAGUACACUUAAGUGCCAAAAUCAAAUAAAAAUAGAACACUUAAAUGCCAAUGGUGAGAAAUUCCAGCCAAAUAGCUGAUGAGGCAUUUUUCGACAGCAUUUUUUUACAAAUCUAGCAAUUCUUUUUUUAAAAAAAUUGUCAACGUCACUAAAAAGCCAUCUUAUAAAAUUUUAAUAUAAAUAUUAAUUAAAAUCAAAUUAAAAAACUGAAUUUAAGAAAAGGGUUCAACAAGGGCCUCCAUAGCCCUCGCUGCCGCCGUCCCACCAUCGUUGGAAAAGGCCAGUGAUGGUCGAGUGAGGGUUGACCAAGGUUGCUGGCCAUUGGGUAGUAGCCAGCAACCCCAAUGGCCAGCAACCCUAGCCAACCCUCUUCUAGAUUUGGUGAAGCUAGCGGCCAGUGGCCCUUGGCCCUUCUAGGAGAGGACUGGCAACCGUCACUAAAUUUGGGAUGGGCCACGACCCUCACCCUAGAUUUGGCCGAAGGCCUACAAGCCCUUAUCGGCCACUACCUAAGGGCCAUUGACCCUAGUUGACCCUUGCCCCACUAUGGUCGGCCCUAUUAACAAUGGUGGGGCGGCGGUAGCAAGGGCUGUGGAGCCCCUCGUCAAACCUACCACCAUUCACCUCCUUUUUUAAUAAUUUAGUUUUUUAAAUUUACUUUUAAUUAAUAGUAAAUUAACAAAUUUAUGGGCAAAAUGACGUCAUUUUGCACGUUCAUUGCUGAGUAAGCAUUUCGAUAAAUCGUGUAAACCACUUAUAUUAUUAAAAAAAAGCCACGUCAAAUUUCCAAUUAUCCUCGUUGGCGUUGGCACCUAAGUGUCCCAAUUUCCAAAAAAAGUAACACUUAAGUAUACAUUUUGGAAGUUUUGGCAUUUAAUGGUCUACUCGUGCUAAGUUUUGGCACUUGCGGUGUACUUUCCCUCUCAAUUCGGUGUACAUGCAUUUAUUUAUGAGAAUAACAAUUAUUUUGGGACUUGACAUAAUAUUAUAAGUUGACAUUAAAGAUAUAGAAUGCAUUAUAAUACAUGGAAGAUACUAUUCGUUCUUAGAGGACAUAUCAUCUUGAUUCAUGUACUUCGUUUCUUUUCUUUCAAGCAUAAAGUUUUUGUAGAUUUAGUCUGACAAUUCGUAUGAUGAAGAUGUUGAAUCAAGUGGGAGAAUGUUAUUAUUUUGAUAUCAUGAUCCCACGUUUUCUUGACCCAUUUUUUUUGUAAUCACUUUAGUUAUUCCACGUUCUUCACCUUUUCAUAUACUUGUGUGAUAAUUGUCACCUCUUCUAUUAAUAUGAUUAAUUACAAUUAACGUAAUUAAUUAUGUGAUAGUGAUAACUCUCACUCUUUCCUAUACAUGUGAUUCAUUAUAAUUAAUGUAAUUAAUUAUGUGAUAAUUAUCACCUCUUCAUAUCUUAUACUCUUGAUGUGCUAAAGCUUUUACCUUUCAUCGCAUUGAACCGAACAGUGCGAUAGAAUCAAAGUGGCAUGCCGAGAGCAAUAUUCGAUAACUCGAAUACAAUAUAUGGUUUGCGCGACUUGAAUCAAUUCAGAAAUCUCCCGGCAGGUAGAAGCUGUUGAUUCUAAAACUUAAGGACCAUCUUGCCGACCAAAGCUCGGGUCCAAGAAUUAAUAGGCAAUGCAAAAAUCCGGGUUAAAGCCUUGGGGGUUUAGGACCGGGAUCGGUCCUCCUGUCGAUGAUCAGAACGGAAGAGAGGAGUGCAAAGUAAAAGCAAAUGUGUAUCAUAUCACUGUCUAUUGCGGUUGGAAGCUUUUAUGCCUUUUUCAGUGGCGGAGAUGAGGAUGAUGUAUGAAAACACGUAAUGCUACUUAAACUCUUCACUUUCUUACAAGAUAAUGAGGUUGUUUUCAUUCAGUAGAUCGCAUCCGUUUUUGACCGCAGUUUAUCUUCCCGUCCCCGGCUGCCGGAAUAGCCAAGGCGCCCCCACGAAGGAUAUCUUUCAGUUUCUCGAGCAGCAGCUCCGCCUUAGCCAGCUCCAGUAACUCCUCUUGAUGAUAAUUGCUUCCGUCGCCGAAAAGGCCAACCACUUCCAUGCCGUUCGCCUCCAGCUGUGCUGCCAACUCCCUCUGCCGAUCUAUCGUUGGAUCUCGGCCGCCACCCACCACCACCACCCGCCACCCCAUCGUUCUCAUCCUCUCCCACUCCCCCAGCCUCUCCCCAGCCAUCGGGUUGCAAUACUGGUGGUCCCGGCCGGCGCCGGCCGGCAGCACCAGCUCCCAGCAUAGGUCCGCCACGUUCAUCGGCAGGGUUGGGUUGUUGAACAGCCUAACUUCUGACUCGGUCCUCUGGAGUCCGCCGAAGAAGGGGUGGUGCAAGAUCAGGGCUCUGAUCACCAAAGGCUCUAGAUCGGCCACGGUGGCACACGCAUGGAGGCCCACGUGGUACGCGAUGUUCCCCCCCGCGCUCGUGCCCAUCAGGUAGCACCGCGAGAAGUCAACGCCCUCGCGAAGCCACUCCUCCUCGGUGGUCCUGACCCAGCGGAGGGCCUCCAUGGCGUCAUCAUAGGCCGCAGGGAGGCGGUGCUCCGGCGCGAGGCGGUAACUGGGGGAGACGACGAUGGCGCGAAGCUUGGUCGCCAUGAGGGAGCAGAAAUCGUGGUAUAUCUCGUGGGCCGGGGAGGAGUAUACGAAACCGCCGCCGUGGUAAUAUACGAUGAGGGGCAGUCUCUGGUCAGGCGGGGGUGACAGGCUAGGCACGUAGAUCCGGGCCCAGGUGUUGUGGGCCAGGUCGACCGGGACGUCCUUGGUGCGGACAGCGGAGGGCCGGUCGGGGUUGGGGUUGGCGGGGCUAUUUACUAUGUCGAAGCUGCAGCCGCGCGUGACCGUGCCGUCUGGGUGCAGGACAAGAUCGAGGUAGUUAUAGGCGUCGAUGGCCGGAGCUGGAUCGAGAUCCGGAUGCUGAUCGGCCAUGUUUUGCUUUCUGCUCGAGCUCGAGGUGGGACUGAAGAAAGAUGUGGGAAAAACCGGUUCUUUAUAGCCCGAGAAAAGUCAAAAGUCAAAAGCAGUCGAGGGCAACGGCUAUGGAUUUACGUACAUAUUAUAUGUUUAUUUUAUUUUACGACAUGCAUGUGAUGGCACGCCUGUUUAUUUCCCAUUUCUUUCUGUGGUCCCCACCUCGAGCAAAGGCAGAACACGGCCGGCCGCGACCGAUGACGUUGAUGAUGCGCGUGACCAACCUCUAAGCCGUCAUACGCACCGCAAGGCCGUGCCUGAUCCCGGCUUCCCAUUCGCGGUGGUCCCCCAAAGCUAAAUAGCACCGACACGUAAUAUGCUAUUUUUCAAAAAUAAAAAAUUUCGAUAUUUUAAGACACGUUAUAUAUUAAUUAAAUGUUUUUAGUUUUAAUUAAUUUAAUUUCAAUUCACAAAUAAAUAAAUAAUGAAAAAGAGCCCAUAAUGAAUUUAUACUAAUAAUAUUAAUAAACCUAUUCAUAGGAAAUUCAAAAGAUAUAUUCAUAAUUAAUACGUAUCCAUGUUUAAGGACAUGUUUCUAACUUUAACGAAAAUUAUUGAUGAAAUUAAUGACUAAUAAAGAAUUAUAAUCAACUUAUUUAAAUAAAUCUAUAACCUUCUACAAUAAUAAAAAUUUAUCAUUAUCUAACGUGUUUUUUCUUUUUUUCUGAAAUCACUUUUUAGCCUCACUUAAUUUGUUUUCUAAUAAAAAAAUCACUCCCUCGUUUCCUAGAAGAUGCCCACGUUUUCUUUUAUUCAUUUUUCCUCUUUUAUUCUCUUCUUUAUUUCUUUCUCUCUCCUUUUGUACUUUAUAUUUUUCUUGUGCUAGAUAUUGAAUCGCAAGUUCAAAGAAGAACAAAAAAGGGCCACCGGAAGGAAUUUUCCAAAAUAGUACGAAUGUGAUGAAUUUCCUUCGUUUCUUCCUCCCCUCUCUCCCCUCCAUUUGAAUUCUCAUAUUUGCAGUCUACUGCUCUCCUUCUAUUUUGGAUGAACUCAGACUUUCAGAUGAUUUAUUACAGAUCCUCUCUAAGAACUGAGAACCGAGCACAGGAGUUACACGCGCUCUAGAAGAGCGCGUAUGGAGAGUUAGUAGAAUGAAUAUGGUGAUUAAUUGAUAGAAUAUGAAAACAGGUGAUAACGAGACAUGAAGAGGAAUCGAAGUCGAUUUGUACUCUAUCUCACAUCUAUCGUCGGGGUUUCGCAUUGGUUGACUCGUUGACACUAGAGCGAACCGUUGCGUGAUUUAUUCAAGCACUAAUCGAUCCGUUUAAAUGUGACUGACGUAUACAUAUGUUUGAGUCUGAACGAGAGGUGACAAACUAUGGGACCUCACGACGCAGAUCUAAAAGUGGGAUGGAUGAUCUAAUUUCGACUACACUACGUAUAGACACUUUUCNNNNNNNNNNNNNNNNNNNNNNNNNNNNNNNNNNNNNNNNNNNNNNNNNNNNNNNNNNNNNNNNNNNNNNNNNNNNNNNNNNNNNNNNNNNNNNNNNNNNNNNNNNNNNNNNNNNNNNNNNNNNNNNNNNNNNNNNNNNNNNNNNNNNNNNNNNNNNNNNNNNNNNNNNNNNNNNNNNNNNNNNNNNNNNNNNNNNNNNNNNNNNNNNNNNNNNNNNNNNNNNNNNNNNNNNNNNNNNNNNNNNNNNNNNNNNNNNNNNNNNNNNNNNNNNNNNNNNNNNNNNNNNNNNNNNNNNNNNNNNNNNNNNNNNNNNNNNNNNNNNNNNNNNNNNNNNNNNNNNNNNNNNNNNNNNNNNNNNNNNNNNNNNNNNNNNNNNNNNNNNNNNNNNNNNNNNNNNNNNNNNNNNNNNNNNNNNNNNNNNNNNNNNNNNNNNNNNNNNNNNNNNNNNNNNNNNNNNNNNNNNNNNNNNNNNNNNNNNNNNNNNNNNNNNNNNNNNNNNNNNNNNNNNNNNNNNNNNNNNNNNNNNNNNNNNNNNNNNNNNNNNNNNNNNNNNNNNNNNNNNNNNNNNNNNNNNNNNNNNNNNNNNNNNNNNNNNNNNNNNNNNNNNNNNNNNNNNNNNNNNNNNNNNNNNNNNNNNNNNNNNNNNNNNNNNNNNNNNNNNNNNNNNNNNNNNNNNNNNNNNNNNNNNNNNNNNNNNNNNNNNNNNNNNNNNNNNNNNNNNNNNNNNNNNNNNNNNNNNNNNNNNNNNNNNNNNNNNNNNNNNNNNNNNNNNNNNNNNNNNNNNNNNNNNNNNNNNNNNNNNNNNNNNNNNNNNNNNNNNNNNNNNNNNNNNNNNNNNNNNNNNNNNNNNNNNNNNNNNNNNNNNNNNNNNNNNNNNNNNNNNNNNNNNNNNNNNNNNNNNNNNNNNNNNNNNNNNNNNNNNNNNNNNNNNNNNNNNNNNNNNNNNNNNNNNNNNNNNNNNNNNNNNNNNNNNNNNNNNNNNNNNNNNNNNNNNNNNNNNNNNNNNNNNNNNNNNNNNNNNNNNNNNNNNNNNNNNNNNNNNNNNNNNNNNNNNNNNNNNNNNNNNNNNNNNNNNNNNNNNNNNNNNNNNNNNNNNNNNNNNNNNNNNNNNNNNNNNNNNNNNNNNNNNNNNNNNNNNNNNNNNNNNNNNNNNNNNNNNNNNNNNNNNNNNNNNNNNNNNNNNNNNNNNNNNNNNNNNNNNNNNNNNNNNNNNNNNNNNNNNNNNNNNNNNNNNNNNNNNNNNNNNNNNNNNNNNNNNNNNNNNNNNNNNNNNNNNNNNNNNNNNNNNNNNNNNNNNNNNNNNNNNNNNNNNNNNNNNNNNNNNNNNNNNNNNNNNNNNNNNNNNNNNNNNNNNNNNNNNNNNNNNNNNNNNNNNNNNNNNNNNNNNNNNNNNNNNNNNNNNNNNNNNNNNNNNNNNNNNNNNNNNNNNNNNNNNNNNNNNNNNNNNNNNNNNNNNNNNNNNNNNNNNNNNNNNNNNNNNNNNNNNNNNNNNNNNNNNNNNNNNNNNNNNNNNNNNNNNNNNNNNNNNNNNNNNNNNNNNNNNNNNNNNNNNNNNNNNNNNNNNNNNNNNNNNNNNNNNNNNNNNNNNNNNNNNNNNNNNNNNNNNNNNNNNNNNNNNNNNNNNNNNNNNNNNNNNNNNNNNNNNNNNNNNNNNNNNNNNNNNNNUCAUUUCCUUUCUUGAAUUUGUAUGCUAAGUCCCAUUGGAAACCCCAUUUUUAAUUUAUUUUCUACUCUUCUUGCUAAAAUUAAAAGGGGAAGAAGCUCAAAAACAUAACUGCCGCCUCCUCCUCCUCCUCCUCGCAUGACCCUCUUCCUCUCUCUCUCGAUGGCCUGACUCGCCUCACAAUUGCUCGCCUCUGGCUCUUCCUCUUCCGCAGCUACAAUCUUGCCUUCGGCCCUCCAUCACGUGGUCCCAGUCGCGGCCCUUGGGGUCGCCUUGAUCUCUUCUCUUCCUCUAUCCUUCCUUUGCAGUCACGGCCUCACUGUUGAUUGCGACCUCACCUCGCUCCUUCGCCCUUGUCUCCACCCUCCAUCAUUUUCUUUAACGAUUCUCUCUCCCUUCGCACAUGCAGACCCGUCCUAGAAACUCUCCAUGCCUCGAACACACGUGUUAGAAUGUGUCAGGAAUAGUUGACCAUGUGUCGAAAAAUCCGACACGUAUUGAUCACACGUCCGAGCAUGUCGGACACGACAUGCUUCAUAGCCCCAAGGAUGGCCUGAGCAGGCGUUUUGGGCCAUGGUGAGGAUUGGGCUAGCCUAAGCUGUAUCUCGGGCAUCGUCAUCAGCUCAAUCGAGACAUACCUAGCCGAGCUGAGCGAUGUUGUGAGGGCCAUGAUAAAACUAUAGCUCAACUCUUCUGAAAGACUAACAUAAAAGGAUUAAAUUAAGAAUUUCAACAUAGAUUUCAUGGUUUAUCAUUAGCAUUACACAUGGUUUGAUCUUUGCUUGACCCAAUCACAAUCACUUGUAAUAUAAACGAAAAAGAAAAAUUGUCCAAAAAGUCCUAAAUCUAUUGUAUUUUUGUCAACUUAGUCAUAAACCUUUCAAAUUUAUCAAUUAAGUCCUAAACAUUUUUACUGCUUGCCAAUUGAGUUCAUCUGGCUAAUUUUAACUAGAAAUUACUGAUGUAAUCGAUCGGCACUAAUGUUGUGCUUUUUAAUAAUAUAUUAAUAAUUUUUGUCCUAUAAAAAAUCACAAACUUUUGCCCUUAUCCCGAAUAUGAUCCUCACUGUUAACUCUCUGUUUGAGGUCAACUUUGUUUUAGGAAAAAAAGAAGGUUCUAGUCAUAAGCUUGGCAGACCUCGUCCAUGGUAUCUUUUGGCGAGCAGUGGUAUAUAGCUUUAGAUUAUAUGACAAAAUGGCAAAGUUUAAUCAGAGAAGUUCAAUUCGAAGAUCUUUUUUACUUGCUAGUUAAGUGUAGGAGACAAUGAAUAACUUCAUCAUUAUUCUUCAGGCUAUUCUCUUAUCAUUCUCCCAAUUGCACCAUAUGUAUGCUAUGAUGCAAAAUUUUCAAAAACUAAAAUAUCUCUACUUUUUCUUUUUCUAACCUGUAAAAUGACAUAACAAAAUAUGAAUUUAUUAUACGAAGAAGUACAUACAAUAGCAACAAUUAUAACAAAUAUCUUACAAGAUAUUUACUUCUCUUUUAUACACUAUUGGACUUAGUUGGUAUUGUAGUUGGUUUUACAUUGCUUUUUGUGUUGAUCGGACAUGUUUCUGCAUCGUUAGGCUAUGUUGUCAUUUGCUGUUGUUGCUAUUAUUGCUUCUUAGUUAGACAAAGUCUUAUUGUGCCCUUUCAUAUAGUAAUGUGAGCAUUGAACCAUUCCACUAGUCCUGCUCAUUGUAUUAAUGCUAUUCUCAAUUUCCUAUCUUUUUUUUUUUUUUUAAGCCUAUCAACUUACUUCUUCAAUGGUAGACUCUAGGGAUUGAUGGUUUGUUUUGCUAGAAACUUGCUACUCUUCAGAGGCUACAACAUGAAUUGGUUGGUAUGCUGCAAGAGAGUUGUUAUUUUUGUCACAAUCUUCCACAUAAUCCUUUAAAUUGAGUUGCUUCAAUUGGAUGGCACAAAUUGCAUGUGAGCAAGGUAUUCCACUUAACUUCUAUGCCCGAUAGGAAUUUUUUUUUCUCCAAAUGAACAACAUACUUGUCGGCAUCAUUCAUUAUCUCAAAUCCAUUGUCUCCAUCACAGUAAUGUUAUCUUCCAAUUUUUUUGCAAUCUUGAGCCCAUAUUGUCUAAGCCAUUUCGAACAUUUACUCUCUGUUUUCACAAUCUGGUUAUCACCAUAAAUUUGAUGUCUUCAAGUAUACUGACAAUUAAUUUGCACCCGGCUUCAAUAAUCCUGUCGUUGAAAGUCUCGCAAAGGUUGUUGUCAACUCUAUCGUACUUUGAUUUCUCACUAAAAAAAAGCUAUAUGACAAUGCUUUACUUUAAUUUGGAACAAUGUUUGAUAAGUUUCAGUUGAUAAUGCAUGAAGAGCUUAUUUGUGAAUUCUGAAAUAUGUCAUAUUUGAACUCUUUGUAAUCAACCAAAACUAUUUUUGCAAUUAAUCAUCUUUAUAUUUUUUCGCCCAAUUUGCAUAUAUGUGUUGAGCACACAUUCUAUACUCGGUAUAUUGCAUCAACUUGGUUAUGGCUAGAACAAAUUCUUGUAAAAUCAACAAACAUUUGUAAAUUACAUGAAUGAGAUGGCAAGAUAUAAUGAUAUUAGCAAAACCAAUAAACAUUACCAAUACCUUUUGUUGAUCACUUCUAAAUGCUAAAUCUCUUCCAUUAGUUAUUCCAAAAUCAGCCAUCAGAUUUUUCAAAAACCAGAACCAAUUGUCCUUGUUUUCUAUCUUUACCAUGGUCCAAGUUACUGAAAAUAUUUAGUUGUUUCCAUCUCUCCUGGCAGUAGCCGAUAAUCCUCCCUUGCAUUACACUUUCAAAAAACACCCAACUAAUCCAAUCCCUUUUCUACAACCAACUAAAAAUCCAAUCUUAUCAAACUAUAUCUCUUGAUCAGGCAAGGGCUUUUCCACAACCUCUGCAUGAAUUCUGCUAAGUGGAUUUUGUAACCUAGAUUCCAUAACAUAAUCCCAAAUCUUUACAUAUUCUUUCUUAUAAAUACCCAUCAACCUAUUUAUAAUCUUGUACUAAGUCCAUUUGCACUGAUUGUGAGAAACAAUUACACAUACUUGCUCUUUCACUAGUUAUUUCAAUUGAGGAACUUUGAUGUUUGACAUUGCUUUGAUGAUGUUGAAUAAGUGCUUAGUCAACCACACAUUAGUCACUUUUUUCAUUCUUAAACAUAAUACCACAUGUGUGCUUCUUUUGUAGUAACCAAAUACGGAAUGAGCCACUCUUGUUACUCAACGCACCAUAUAUUAUCCAUGGACGAUUGUCUUGUGCACACUUCGCUUUAACAAAAUUAUUGGUAUUUCUAACAUAUUUAAUAUUUCGUUAUUGAGAGAUUGAGCACCUCAAUAGCAUCUCUGAAUUGCUUGGCAUUCUCAAAUGUCAUUGAUACACAAAAGGUAGGAUUUAUACCAAUUUGAUCAUAAGAAGGAUAUUGACUUCUUUUAUGUUGUGUUACACCAUCUUCAUCAUCAUCCUCAUGGUUGCCGCCGUUAUUACGGCAACUUUUCCCAUAAAUAAAAUAAUCACCAUUAGUUAUAGGAGCUCUUGCAUCUCUACUUACUGCACUGCCUUCAUUCAUGGCAUAAAUUGUGCUUUUCUCCUUUAUUCAAAUGCCCUGACCUCUUCCCUUACUUGUGUGAUAUCAUCAUCGUUAACAUCACUUAUGCAAAUGGUAUGCACAAAUGUUCAUCGUUUUCGUCGCUGGACAAUGCAAUUUUCUAAGAGUUCGGGGUUAUUCUAGUUGAUUCUUUAACAGGUGUAUCUUCACCAUUAGAUAUGCCUUCAGUAUCCUUAAAAUGCUGAAAUAUCUCUAACACAGAUGAUGUAUGCAAAUCUACGGCGUCCUUUGCCCUUACACGUCCUUCCAAAAUAGCUUCAACACUAUCUUGGGUUUCAAUAGUAGUUUACAAUACUAUUUGCUCAUCUUUUUCAUCGCAAUUAACUUUAACAUAUACAUAAACAUCAUGAGCAUACAGAAAAUGGUAAACAAGAUCCCUCACCCCAUUAUUGUUAUGCAAAUAUAUUACAUUAUCUUUAAGAGACUUAACGGGUACCUAUUAAGAGACUUAACCUAUUUUGCAUCUCAAUUGGUCUUCUAUAUCCCUUCUAAAAUUUAUAAAUGACAGUUCACUUAUGCUGACAAGAACAACGGUGACUUGCCCGCCAAUGUAUUCCUUCUCUUCCCCAGUAAUCCUAAACUCUACUGUAGCAAACUUUAAUGAACGCACUUCUAUCGCCCAUAUUAACACUAUACCAAAUACAAUAAAAUUUAUUUCUAUAUUAGGGAACCACAAUAUAGAUAGACAAUAAUAGCAAUUGGUCCUUACAACUCAAGCAAAUAAUAAUAUUAAAUCGGACCCCACAAUCACAAUAAACAAUCAGUCUUCACAUAUCAAGCAAAUAACAAUAUUAAAUCAGUCCCCACAACCACAGUAAAAUAUUUUCACUAUUGGCCAGUGGACACUAAUCGACAAAAUUUAAGCAUGAAUGAACUAAAGUACUCAUCUUUACACUACUCAAACCCUAAUAUUUGCCCUCUAAUAUGUUGCAUUUUCCCACACUUUGACUCUGUCAAACAACACCCAAUUCACUCACAUUGUCGGUUAGUCAACACAAAACAACAAAAACCACUAACCUUUACUCUUUGUCAACAAUGAUUCUCCACGUUACAACCCCUGACUUUUCCCUUUAAGUUGUUGCCUUUUCAGUCUUUGUCUAACGAGUAAGGAGGACAUGCAACAGUAAACUCGAAGCCCUAAUUUGCAAUUUCAGAGACAAAUCGCAAAGGGGUUUUGGGUGUGCUGAAAUUUAGUGUGGGGUCAAUGAAUCAAUAUCGAGUCGAUUAAGUGGGGGGUCGAUGAAGAUGCAAUUUUGGAUGGAAACCCUAAUUUUGUGAAUAGGGUUUGAAAUCAAAGAGAAAGAGAUCUUCAACCUCGUCUGAGAUGAGAAGAGAAAUGACGCCGUUUCUCUUGAGAGAGAGAGAGAGAGAGAGAGAGAGAGAGAGAGAGAGAGAGAGAGAGUGGUUGUAUGAAAUAAUACCAUUUUAGGCAAAAGAAAUGGUGUUGUUUCUAUUAAAGAGGAACUCCACUUGUUUUUCUAAAUAACUAUGUCAAAAUCGAAAAUUUCGACUUAUUUUUCUAAUUAUCCAUGUCAUAAUCGAAAAUCACUAAAAAAAUGGAAAAUCAAGAAAAAAUCCACGUUGGACGUUUGACUGGAAAUAACAUUUAAGUGAGCAAUUUUACUUGGAUUUGGCACUUAAAUGAGUGAAAAAAAAAGUUUUGGCACUUAAGUGAAUGCCGUACGAAAGUAUUGACAUUUAUACUGUUUUUAUCUCCUUAUAAUACGCAUAACAAUAAAUGAUCAAUUAAUAAACUCAUAACCAUGUGUGCUCACGAGAAGGGAUGUUACUUAUGGAAUUGGAAAAGAGUGUUCAUUUGAUAAUGCAAGGAAAGAGUAAAGGGCAGGGCAAGACAAGAAGAAAGGAAAUGGUAAAACACCCCCCUCCCCUAGCUAACAUAAAGAAGGAAUCUGAAUGCUUUUUUUUUUUUUAUAAAAAGAUGGGGCAUAUAAAGAAGGGUUGUGCCAAAUUUAAGGCUUUAUUCGAGAAAAAAAGUAAUCCAAUCUUACAUGUUGUUAUGAAUCUAAUAUGAUUAAUAUAAGUCAUAACGGAUUGAUUUUAGAUCUAUAAUUCAUAUUUUGAAUUCUUUAAAAGGUUUUCAUAAAAAAACAGUGGGAAGUAAGUAGGGCAUCCAAGAAAAAAGAUAAGUUCGCAUAUGGGAGCUAUUUGGGACAUGCAUAUUAGUUCUAAGCCGUAGUUUUGUUUUGAAUUUGGAAAUUACCUUUUAUAUUCUAAGUUUCUCUAUAAAUUUGAUUUCGGUUUCAAGACUUAUACCAUUAGGUCAUAUCUUUAAUUUCUUAUAUGCAACCUUUGAUUUAUCUUUUAAAAAUGAUAUAAUUGGGAAUUGUAUUUUGUUUAAUGGUCUUUUUUUUUGUAUUAAUUUACAAGAUAAUGCCUUUUAAUGCCAUGUAUGUUUAUGAUAAUGCUGGUAUAAAACGGUAUGUUAUGAAUUAAGAUUAUGACAUACCUUCAUGGAAAGAAUUAAAUGAUUAGUAAUUAAUGGAGUACUUAGAACUAUUGGAUUUUACUAAUCAUGACACUUAUGUGGAUUUGAUAAAAGGAAAACAAACCAACAAGAUAAAGAAAUGUCCCAAAAGGAGUACUGAGAUAUUAGAAAUCAUAUAUACAAACAUUUGUAGUCUAGAUUUUGACUAGUAUAGUUAGAAGUACUUUAUCUCUUUCAUAAAUAAUUACUCGCAUUUCAUGCAUCUCUACUUGCUUUAUAAUAAGCUUGAAACAUUAAAUACAUUUAAGGUAUUUAAAACCAAAGAAGAGAAACAAUGGGAAGAUCCAAUAAGGGGGGGGGGAUAUUAUGAUAGAUACAUUGAAGACGGACAAGUGCCUAGUCCAUUUGCAAAUAUAAUGAUAGAUACAUUGAAGAUGGACUAGCGCUUUGAUAUCAAGUAUUUAGCCAUAUAAAAAUUGUCACUUUCACUGAAUUGAUAAUUGUCAAUCAUUUAACUAAAGACACGUCAUCAAUGAGUUAUAAGAAUCAUGUAAUUAGGAUGGGGCUUGGUCCUAUCAUGUGAUUUUUCAUUGUAUGGAAUUUUUUUUAUGAAACUCUUAUUCAUUUAUAAUGUUUUUCUCAAUUUGGGGGGUGUGGACAUCGCAAGUGCCACAACUUGGUAUAAGAUGACACUUAAAUGUCAAAAGUUAUAUAUAUAUAUACCAAAAUCAGAAAAGAAUAGAACACUUAAGUGCUAAUGAUGAGAAAUUCCAACCAAACAACUUACGUGGCAUUUUUUGUCGACUUUCUUUUUUAAGACAUGGCAAUUUAAAAAAAAAAAAUAUUGACGUUAGUAAAAAGCCCUCAUAUAAAAUUUUAAUAUAAAUAUUAAUUAAAAACUAAAUAAAAAACUAAAUUAAAAAAAAGGAACAAUAGGUUUGACAAGGAUCUCCAUAGCCCUUGCCGCCGCCAUCCCACCAUUGUCGGAAGCCGGCAACAGUGGGGCGAGGGUCGGUUGCUUUUGCCCACCAUUAGGUAGUUCCAGAUCUAGCGAGGUUAGCGGUCAAUGGCCCUUGGCCCCUUUGGGCGAGGGUCAGUGAUCCUCACCCUAGAUUUGGGCGAAGGCCUACAAGCCCUCGUCAGCCACUACCUAGGGGCUAACGGCCCCGAUUGACCCUUGCCCCACCAUCGCUGAUCCUUUGUGACUAUGGUGGAGCAGCAGCGGGGGCGAGGGUUGUGGAGCCCCUUGCCGAACCUGCCAUUCACCUCCUUUUUUAAUAAUUUAAUUUUUUUAAUUGAUUUUUAAUUAAUAUCAAAUUAACAAAUUUAUGGGAAAAAUGACAUCAUUUUGCACAUUCAUUGCUAAGUAAGCAUUUUGGUGAACCACGUAGAUCACUAAUAUUAUUAAAAUAAGUCAUGUUGAAUUUCCAGUUACCUUUGUUGACAUUGAUACUUAAGGACGCGUUUGGUAACGAUUCUAUUCUUGAGAACAGUUGUUGAUUAAAAAUGAUUCAUUUUUAUUUUAUUCCCGGGAACAAUUUCUUAGCAAAAAAACGCGUUUGGUAACUGUACAAAAUUUCUGAUUCUGGAAUAGAAAAAGAACAUAAAUGUGUUUGGUAACUACAUAAAAUUUCUAUUUCAAUUCUAAAAUUUUAUCAAAUUAUAGAAAUUCUAUUGAAUAAUUAUAUUUAUACUAAGUAAUAAAGAUAUUAACUAAUCAAUUUUUUAUUAAAUAGUAAAUAAUAAACUAUAGUAUAACUAUAAAUAUAAAUACUAAAUAAUAAAUUAACAUAUAAAAUUAAAUAUGUAUUCUAUAUAUAGCAAAAUUUCCAUUCAUACUUCAAUUUUUUUUAAAUAAUUUUAUUAAUUUUUUCCUCUUUUUUUUUUUUUCCUUUCUUCCUCCUCCUUCUUCUUCAAGGUGGCUAGUUGCUGGCCUUGGGAUGACCGGCGACUAGCUAGAUGAGGGCCAGUAACCUCAACGGAGCGUUGCUGGCCUUCGGCAAGGCCGUGCCUUGUCGGCCAAGCCUCGCCCGGCCAAGUGGGGCUUGCCGGUGGCUGGGGGAGGCUCGCCUCGCUAACGGUUGGGCAAGCUCACUCACAACCGGCGGCAGUGGGUGGCGGACGGCGACAUUCGGCGGGGGGCAAUGGCGACAUCAGAUGGCAAUGGCGGCGCCGGCGACACUUGAAGAACAAGAGAAGGAAAAUGAAUAAAAGAAGAAAGAGAAGAAAAAAAGAAAAAACAUAAGUAGAUUUGAUUCCAAAAUUGUUCCCAGGAACAAAGAAUCAACUUUUUAUUUAUUUAUUUAUUCUUGAUUAUACUCUAAAUCUAUUUCUGGGAACAAAUUUGUUCCCAAAAACAAAAAUUUUACCAAAUGCAAUUCUGUUUCAAAACUACUCUCAGAAGCAAAAAAUCAGAAUCGGAUACUAUUUGGAUGGUUACCAAACAACCCCUAGGUGUCCUAAUUUAAAAAAAGAAAAAGAAAAAAGAAGUAACACUUAAGUGUACUUUUUGGAAGUUUCGGCAUUUAAGUGUCCACUCAUGCCAAGUUUUGGCACUUGCUGAUAUAGCUAGUAAUAGCACCUAGAGGGGGGUGAAUAUGUGUUUAAAUAAUUUCUCGAGAUAUGAAAGCAAUACUGGACUAACAACAUAAAUGAAGCUCUCCUUUAGUUAACAAAUCGAACUAUGAUCAAAGUAAAGUGGAGAGUAAGGAAGAGAAGAUUGAACACAAGGUUUAUAGUGGUUCGGCUUAUUCCAAGCCUACGUCCACUCUUCUGCACUGACAGCCUACUGGCUGGAUUUCACUAUGAACAAAAGAGAUAUUACAGCACUGCUUUCCCUUGAUUCCACAGUGUAGAUAUUCUAUCACACUUCCUCAAGGUCUCUCAAAGUAUAGACUCUCUUUUGUGUACAAGAUUUCGCUCAGCAAAUGAAUUGACUAAGAAUCAAAGAGCUUCAGACUUUGGAAUUCUUCUAUAGUGCACUCCUCGAACAACUGGAACGUCUUCCUUUUAUACUCCUUUGUGCCAUCAUACCCAUUGGCACUUACCAAAGGAAUUCUUCCAAUCCUCCCGUUGGACAGAAUCAAUUAGGAAGAUUAUUCGAGCUAUUAAAGGAACAUGUCGAUAGCCCAUCAAUCCUGCUCGCCCAUACAAUCAGGAUCUUGGUUUCCAUAAGUAGAACAUUCCAGGAAUACUUCGUCAAUCAUCGGAUCUUUAAUCAUUCUUGAUUUGAAUAAAGGAAUCCGUUAUGUCUUAUCCAGCCAAGAGAUCUUCUCCAGUCGAUAAGGCCAAAUCCUUAGAGAAGCACUCAAUUCUGGAUAGCCUUUCUUCAACGGAUUAGAAACUGUCAAUCAGAAUAAACUUUGAGUCUUGAGUCCGGCAGUCCGGAGGUCUUCAGACUUUAAUAGCAGAGUCCGCAAAUCUUCAGACCAGACUGAUAGAAACGUUUUGUCAGCUUUAAAAUAUUCCAGAAAGAUUUCUCCAACACUUGCGGUAUACUUUCCCCCUCAAUUUGGUGUACACAUGCAUUUAUUUAUGAGAAUAACAAUUAUGUUGGAACUUGACAUAAUAUAAGGUUUAUUCAUAAAAUUAUGUUAUCACAUAUAAGCUGACAUUAAAGAUAUAGAGUGCAUUACAAUACAUGGAAGAUAAAACUCGUUCUUAGAGGAUAUAUCAUCUUGAUUCAUGUAUUUUGUUUUUUUCCUUUUAAGCAUAAAGUUUUUGUAGAUUUGGUCUAAUAAUUUAUAUGAUGAAGAUGUUAAAUCAAGUGGAAGGAUGUUAUUAAUUUGAUACGAUGAUCCCACGUUUUCUUGACCCAUGUUUUUUUGUAAUCACUUUAGUUAUUCCACGUUUUUCACCUCUUCAUAUUCUUGUGUGAUAAUUGACACCUCUUACUAUUAAUAUGAUUAAUUACAAUCAAUGUAAUUAAUUAUGUGAUAGUGACAACUGUCAUUUUUUCCUAUAAAUGUGAUUAAUUAUAAUUAAUGUAAUUAAUUAUGUGAUAAUUAUCACCUUAACUGCCCACCGUUAGAGUAACAACCUUGAUGGAAGGAUGUUAUAGAAGCUGAGAAUGGGAUAUGUAAAACAUGCCUAAGCCAAGCUCUCUCGUAAGGAAAAACGCACAAUCGAAUUGAGAGAGAACACUAGAUUAGUAGUGCCCAUUUUUUAUUCGUCAAAACUCCGCAAAUUGAGUUCCAACCGAGCUUAGUCAAAGGCUGGAGGUCAGUUACGGUUCAUGUUAUUUUUUUCGUAUUUGGUUAUUUUAUUCAUGAAUUUAUGUUCGUCAAUGUAUAAUUAGAUCGUGCUUAGUUCUAUCAGAUUCCACAGUUGCUAAUCUAUUGAAGGACUGAUCUAUGGCAAUAUGCAUGGUUUGCUCUUUGCCCAACCCGAUUGAACCACCAGCAACGUGAGGGAACUUUAAUGAGAAUCUGAGAGAGGCGAUGCUGUCUAUCAACGUGAUUGCUAACGAAAGCUCGAUAGGACUUCUCAGAUUGCAAGUUCUCUUUUCUUCUCUUCCUCUUCUUCCCUCUGUUUUUUACUUUCGUGUGUUCUUUCGCUGCAAGAGGACUCAAUGGGCGUGUUCGCGCAUGCAUGAACGGGGGGGGGGGGAGGUGGGGGGUGGCUUUUGCCGACGCGGAUGUCGCACAAGAACCGCGAAAAAGGCAGGCUAUCGAAAGGUUGUAUCUUAUACUUUUGAUGCGCUAAAGCUUUUACCUUUCAUCGCAUUGAACCAACAAUGCGAUAGAAUCAAAGUGGCAUGCCGAGAGCAAUAUUCCAUAACUCGACUAUAAUAUAUGGUUUGUGGCGACUUGUAUCAAUUCAGAAAUCUCCCGGAAGGUAGAAGCUGUUGAUUCUAAAACUUAAGGACCAUCUUGCCGACCAAAGCUCGGGUCCAAGAAUUAAUAGGCAAUGCAAAAAUCCUGGUUAAAGCCUUGGGGGUUUAGGACCGGGAUCGAUCCUCCUAUCGAUGAUCAGAACGGAAGAGAGAAGUGCAAAGUAAAAGCAAAUGUGUAUCAUAUCACUGUCUAUUGCGGUUGGAAGCAUUUAUGCCUUUUUCAAUGGCGGAGAUGAGGAUGAUGUAUGAAAACACGUAAUGCUACUCAAACUUCACUAUCUUACGAGAUAAUGAGGUUGUUUUCAUUCAGUAGAUAGCAUCCGUUUUUGACCGCAGUUUAUCUUCCCGUCCCCGGCUGCCGGAAUAGCCAAGGCGCCCCCAUGAAGGAUACCUUUCAGUUUCUCGAGCAGCAGCUCCGCCUUAGCCAGUUCCAGUAACUCCUCUUGAUGAUAAUCGCCUUCGCCGCUGAAGAGGCCCACCAUUUUUAUGCCAUUCGCCUCCAGCUGCGCUGCCAACUCCCUCUGCCGAUCUAUGAUUGGAUCUCGGCCACCACCCACCACCACCACCCGCCACCCCAUCGUUCUCAUCCUCUCCCACUCCCCCAGUCUCUCCCCAGCCAUCGGGUUGCAAUACUGGUGGUCCCGGUCUGUGCCGGCCGGAAGCGCGAGCUCCCAGGAUAGGUCUGCCACGUUCAUCGGCAGGAUUGGGUUGUUGAACAGCCUAACUUCCGACUCGGUCCUCUGGAGUCCGCCGAAGAAGGGGUGGUGCAAGAUCAGGGUUCUGAUCACCAAAGGCUCUAGAUCGGCCGGGGUGGCGCACGCAUGGAGGCCCACAUGGUACGCGAUGUUCCCCCCAGCGGCCGUGCCCAUCAGGUAGCACCGCGAGAAGUCAACGCCCUCGCGAAGCCACUCCUCCUCGGUGGUCCUGACCCAGCGGAGGGCCUCCAUGGCGUCAUCAUAGGCCGCAGGGAGGCGGUGCUCCGGCGCAAGGCGGAAGCUGGGGGAGACGACGACGGCACCAAGCUUGGCCGCCAUGAGGGAGCAGAAAACGUGGAAUAUCUCGUGGGCCGGGGAGGAGUAUAUGAAACCGCCGCCGUGGUAAUAUACGAUGAGCGGCAGUCUCUGGUCAGGCGGGGGUGACAGGCUAGGCACGUAGAUCCGGGCCCAGGUGUUGUGGGUCAGGUCGACCGGGACGUCCUUGGUGCGGACAGCGGAGGGCUGGUCGGGAUUGGGGUCGGCGGGGAUAUCUACCAUGUGGAAGCCACGCGUGACCGCGCCGUCUGGGUGCAGGACAAGAUUGAGGUAUUUAUAGGCGUCGAAGGCCGGAGCUGGAUCGAGAUCCGGAUGCUGAUCGGCCAUGUUUUGCUUUCUGCUCGAGCUCGAGGUGGGACUGAAGAAAGAUGUGGGAAAAACCGGUUCUUUAUAGCCCGAGAAAAGUCAAAAGUCAAAAGCAGUCGAGGGCCACGGCCGUGGUAUGGAUUUACGUACAUACUUUAUUCAUUUAUUUAUUUAUUUUACAACAUGCAUGUGAUGGCACGCCUGUUUAUUUCCCAUUUCUUUCUUUGGUCCCCACCUCGAGCAAAGGCAAAAUACGGCCGGCCGCCACUGAUGACGUUGAUGAUGCGCGUGACUAACCUCUAAGCCCUCACGCGCACCGCGAGGCCGUGCCUGAUCCCGGUUUCCCCGUUCACCAUGGUCCCCAAAGCGAAGUAGCAUGUCAUUUUUCAAAAAUAAUUAAUUCUAAUAUUUUGAGAAACGUUGUAUAUUAAAUAAAUAUUAUUAUUUUCAAUUAAUUUAAUUUAAAUUCAUAAAUAAUGAAAAAGAGCCUAUAAUAAAUUUAUACUAAUAGUAUUAAUAAAUCUAUUCAUAGGAAAUUCAAAAGAUAUAUUUAUAAUUAAUGCAUAUCCAUGUUUAAGGAUGGGUUUCUAACUUUAACAAAAAUUAUUAAUGAAACUAAUAAUUAAUAAGAAAUUAGAAUCGACUUAUUUAAAUAAAUCUAUAACUUUCUACAAUGAUCAAAAUUUAUUUUUAUUUAACAUUUAGUGCUUUUUUUUCCGAAAUCACUUUUUAGCCUCACUUAUUUAUUUUUCUGAUAAAAAUAAAGAAAAAAUCAAUAGGAAUAAAUCACUCCCUCGUUUCCUUGAAGAUGCCCACGUUUUCUUUUAUUCAUUUUUCCUCUUUUAUUCUCUUCUAAUUUUUCUCUCUUUCUCUCUCUUUUUGCACUUUAUAUUUUUCUUGUACUAGAUAUUGAAAUGCAAGUUCAAAGAAAAACGAAAAAGGGCCGCCGGAAAGUAAGGGCGCGUUUGGUUGUGUUUCUAUUUAAAAAUUGUUCCAGGGAACAGAAAUAGAAAAAAGUAUUUCUGUUCUGGGGAACAAUUUUUGAACAAAAAUACGCGUUUGGUAAACUUGUUCCGGGAAUAAAAAAUAAACAGAAACAUGUUUGGUAAAUUUGGAUAAUUUUUUUAUUUCUUUUAUUUUUUCUAUUUUUUUCUUAUUUUUCCUUUUUUUCUUUUUUCUUUUCAAUUUUUUUUCUUCUUUGCCGGCGACCGGCCGGCGAGGGCCGANNNNNNNNNNNNNNNNNNNNNNNNNNNNNNNNNNNNNNNNNNNNNNNNNNNNNNNNNNNNNNNNNNNNNNNNNNNNNNNNNNNNNNNNNNNNNNNNNNNNUGUAGCCUUGCCUCCAACCCUCCAUCGCGGGGUCCCAAUUGCAACCCUCAAGAUCGUCUCGAUCUCUUCUCUUCCUCUGGCCUUCCCUUGCAGUUGCGGCCUUGCCAUUGAUUGUGGCCUCACCUCAUUCCUUCGCCCUUGCCUUCACCCUCCAUCAUCUUCUUCAAUGAUUCUCUCUCCCUUCGCACAUGUGGACCCGCCCUAGAAAUUCAUCAUGCCUCAAACACACGUGUCAGAACGUGUUGGGAAUAGUUGACAUUGUGUCGAAAAAUCUGACACGUGUUGACCGCGUAUCCAAGCGUAUUCAAGCAUGUUGGACACGUCGUGCUUCAUAGCCCCAAGGACGGCUUGAGUAGGCGUUUUGGGCCGUGGUGAGGAUUGGGCUAGCCUAAGCUAUAUCUCGGGCAUUGUCAUCGGCUCAAUCGAGACAGACCUAGCCGGGCCGAGUGAUGUUGUGAGGGCCAUGAUAAAACCAUAGCUCAACUCUUCAGAAAGGCCAACAUAAAAUGAUUAAAUUAAGUAUAUCAACAUUGAUUCUGUGGUUUAUCAUUAGCAUUACACAUGGUCUGAUCUUUGCUUGACCCGGUCACAAUCACCCACAAUAUAAACGAAAGAGGAAAAUUGUCUAAAAAGUUAUAAACCUAUUACACUUUUGUCAAUUUAGUUAUAAACCUUUCAAUUUUAUCAAUUAAAUCCUAAACCUUUUUACUUCUUGCCAAUUGAGUCAAUCUGGCUAAUUUUAGCCAAAAAUUACUGACGUAAUCGGUUAGCGCUAAUGUCGUGCUUUUUAAUAAUAUAUUAAUAAUUUUUGUCCUAUAAAAUCACAAACUUUCACCUUUAUCCCGAAUAUGGUUCUCACCAUUAACUCUCUGUCUAAAGUCAACCUUGUUUUAGGAAAAAAAAAUGGUUCUAAUCAUGAGCUUGGCAAACCUCAUCCAUGAUGUCUCUUAGUAGACACUGGUAUACAGCUUUAGAUUAUGACAAAAUGGGAAAAUUUAGUAAGAGAAAUUCAAUUUGAAGAUCUUUUUCCCUUAUGACAAUAAGGGAAAGUUAAGUGUGGGAGGCAAUGAAUAACUUCAUCAUUAUUCUUCAAGCUAUGACUCAGAAAAUAAGACAAUGAGUAGUGCUUUAAAUCCAACUACAAGUGCACACGAAUUUAUUGCUAAGAACAAUCAAUGGUUCUAAAUUAAAGGGGGCCAGAUUUGGGAUUUAAAUGAAAAUUUUGAUUUUUUUCAAAACAAAAAAAAAAAGUGGGGUCAUAAUAAUUGUCACUCGACUUAAGGUUGAUGCUUUUUUAAGAAACAAAAUAAAGUUGAGGUUAGAAUUGUUACUCGAUGAUGAUGAUGAUGAUGAUGAUGAUGAUGAUGAUGAUGAUGAUGAUAUUAUUAUUAUUAUUAUUAUUAUUAUUAUUAUUAUUAUUAUUAUUAUUAUUAUUAUUAUUAUUAUUAUUAUUAUUAUUAUUAUUAUUAUUAUUAUUAUUAUUAUUAUUUACAUUAGCCCCAUUUUUUUACUACAUUCCUAUUUGCUCAAUGGUCUCCUCAUGCUACGCAAAAUUAGUCAGCUCUUUAAAUUUCAUUGCAGUUGAGGACCUCAGGAGUUUGAAGGACAAUUUCUCUUUUUUACUGUAGUGUUUUUCUUUCCUCAAAUUUCGAGAAUUUUAUUUUGAAUUUUGAAACUUCUCUAUUCAUUAUCUCUUUUUUCAAAUGUUUAAACUUGCCAUAUUAGCCGCGACAAUCAGUUUCAUUAAAGUGAAUAACGAAAAAAAGCUCAAGUGCACAUAUCAUACAAAUUAAAUGACUUGAUCAAACAACUUACAAGACGAAGGCUUCGAUCCUCGAUUAACAAAACUUGUAGCUUCAGAUCAACAUGAAUAAAGUAUUUCGAGCACGAUUUUGCAAAAAUGCUGCAUGUUCAUGGCGACAAAAGCGACACAAGAAUCAACCUUGCCAAAAAAUAGUAAGGAGAGUUGAAACAAAGUACCUUUUUGAUUGCCUCAAGAAAGACUUUAUAUCUUGACUCCAUGAAUCUCGUUAUACUCUCCUAAUCAAGCACCUAAAGUCAACAGAUUAUGUUGGGAAUAUAUGAUGAACAAUUGGGAAGAAUAAUGAAAUUAGACUUUGAGGCGUAAUAUCACUUUCUUUAAAAAAUUAUUUGCCCCACAACAUUGUUAAUGGUAACUGGCAAAUUUUAUCUAGAAUACAACAAAGUCUUGAUUGAUAACACUCAUAGCAAUUUUAGUAUUUCUCCAAGAUAUCUCAAGGGAAACGAUUGAAAACUAUGGUUGUAUAUUUUUGAAAGGAGAAACGAAAAUUGUGUAAAGAAAUGAACACAAAUGUUAAAUAAACAUAUCUAAACGGAUACAACCUUUCAAAGAUAAAGAAGUUGUGUCCAAAUAGACAUGACCUACAAAAAUAAUAAAUUCAAAAUUUAAUAAUUAAAACAUAACCAUCACUCUAUUAUAAAUAGUCACAUUGUUUUAACAUAAUGCAUUGUUGAUUAAUGUCAAACCUCAUCCACGUGUACUCACCUCUCUUCAAUGUGGAACAAGACACCUCUUAAUUUGUUUUACAAACAAACUACCAACAAUCAUCCACUUUGUUUGUAAAACAAAUUUAGAAGGGUUUCAGCCUCAUUUCCUGCAAGGUCAUAUUUCCCAUGUCUCUUGAUAAAACUUUAUCAAGGGAUCAACUAGAUUCUUACUUGACCUCACAUAGACAAUUGUUAUGAUACCAUCUUGAAUCAAUUGCCUCAUGUCAUAAACCAUUAUGUCUAGACUUACCAUUAUAAGUGCUACUAUAAGCUCUUACCAAAGUAGCCUAACUAUCACAAUGGAUAUAAACAAAAGGCAUAGGACUAGGCCAUAAUUUGAUAUCUAAAAAUAAAUUUCUAGUCCAUUCAACCUCUUUCUUAGUUAAUGCUAAAGCAAUAAAUUUAGAUUCCACCGUCUAGUGGGUUAUGCAUAUUUGUUUCUUGCUCAUCCAAUAUACAACACAUCCAUCUAAUGUGAAAUCCACCCAAAAGUGAAAUGUUUAUGACCUACACUUGAAAUCCGACUAGCAUUAGCAUAUCUUUCUAAUACAAUCGGAUAAUUAUUAUAGAACAAUUAUAAAUUUUUUUAACCAAAAAUUUGAGUAAUAACUUUCUAAUGUUUUAUACUUGGAUUACUAGUAUACUUAUUCACUUUGUACACAGAAUAAGUAAUGUUGGGUCUAGUACAAUGCAUCACAUACAUUAAAAACCUUAUAGCACUCGCCUAUUCAAGUCAUGUUACUGCUCUUAUUUUUUAAUUAUUUAAUUUCGAAUUUAUUGUUUUUUUCUAAUGGUUAUUAGUCACUCUUAGAACCUUUGGAAGGUUGUGUCUAUUCAAGCACUACUUCUUCAUCUUUCAAAGGUUGUAUCCAUUUAAAUAUAUUUAUUCAAUAUUUGUAUUCUAUUCUUUGCACAACUUUCGAUUCUCUUUUCAAAGAUAUACGUCCAUAAUUUUCAAUUGUUUUCAUUGAGAGACCUAGAUAAAUACUAGGAUAACCAUCUAAUAUUUCAAUCAAGGUUUUGUUGUAUCUUGAAGAAAAUUUACCCGUGACCAUUAAUCACGUUGUGAGGCAACAAAAAUCUUAAAGAAAAUAAUAUCAUGCCUCAAUGUCUAAGUUCAUUAUUUUUCGCAAUCGUUUGUCAUAUUUUCCUGACAACUUUUAUACUUAUAAAUUCGAUUUAGAAAUGAGAAAUAUGAUCAUUAAUUAGUAUCAAACCUCGUCUACAUAUGUAUUCACAUCUUUUCGACUUGGGACAUGUGUCUGGUCCCUUUCCCUUGCGGAAUCUCCAAUUUUAUUUCGUUCCAUCCCCUCUUUCUCGGUUCUCUAGCUCGGCCCGAUCGAAUCCGCUAUCUCCUAGAUAAAACUUCCAAGAAUAAAACAAAGUGGGAUCCUUCGCUGCCCAUCUGCUCCUUUUUAUAAUGUUCUCGUUUUUCCCUCCCCCUUUAAGCUGCGGAUCUGGAAGGUAUAGAGCAGGAGAUUAACACAGUCGAAGAGAGAGAGAGAGAGAGAGAGAGAGAGAAGCAAUGGGGAUCUUGCAUGCGUAUGAGGAUGCGGUUCAGAUCAGUGAGUCGGAGAAAGAGACUGCCAAAAGGCGGGCUAUUGAAAGGUUGUAUUUUAUAUUCUUGAUGCGCUAAAGCUUCUUUGCGUGACGCGUAUCGAUACAGAAAAGUCCCGAGACGUAGAAGCUGUUGACGCUAAACUUGAGGGACCAUCUUGCCGACCGAAGCUCGGCUCUGAGAAUUAAUCGGCAAGGCCAAAAUCCGGGUUGAAGCUUCUGGGUUUCGGAUGCGGAUUGAUCCGCCCAUAAAUGAUUGGAAAGGAAGGGAGAAACAGUGCAAAAGAAAAGCUUGUGUGCAUCACACCCCACAUUCAUUGCGGUUGAGAGAAAUUCGUGCCUUUUAUUGGUGGAGAUACAGAUGAUGUAUGGGAACACAUUUAGGCAACUCAACUUCACUUCCUUACAAUAUAAUAUAAUUGCUUUCAUUCGAUAGAUGGCAUCCGUCUUUGACCGUCGUUUAUCUUCCCGUCCGCGGCUGCCGGAAUAGCCGAGCCGCCGGCUCAAAUGAUACCUUUCAGUUUGUCGAACAACAGCUCCGCCUUAGCCGGUUCCAGUAUCUCCACUCCAUGAUAAUCACCUUCACUGCUGAAAAGGCCCACCACUUGCACGCCCUUCGCCUCCAGCUUCGCCGCCAACUCCCUCUGCCGAUCUAUCAUCGGAUCUCCGCCGCCGCCUACCACCACCACCCGCCACCCCGGCUUUUUCAUCCCCUCCCACUCAUCCGAUCUCUCCCCAGCUGUCGGGUUGCAAUACUCGUGGUCCCGGUUAGCGCCGGCCGGCAGCGCCAGCUCCCAAACCCGGUCCGCCCCGUUCACCGGCAGGGUUGGGUUGUUGAACAGCCUCACUUCCGACUCGGUCCUCUUGGACCCGCCGAAGAAGGGAUGGUGCAAGAUCAGGGUCCUGAUCACCAGAGGCUCCAGAUCGGCCGCAGCGGCACACAAGCGCAGGCCCACGUGGUACACGAUGUUUCCCCCGGCGCUCGUGCCCAACAGGUAGCACCGCGAGAAGUCAACGCCCUCGCGAAGCCACUCCUCCUCGGUGGUCCUGACCCAGCGGAGGGCCUCUAUGGCGUCGUCGUAUGCCGCGGGGAGGCGAUGCUCCGGAGCGAGGCGGUAGCUGGGGGAGACGACGACGGCGCCGAGCUUGGCGGCCAUGAGGGAGCAGAACACGUGGUGCACCGUGUUGGCCGGGGAGCACCAGACAAAGCCGCCGCCGUGGUAAUACACGACGAGCGGCAGUUUCUGGUCGGCCCGGGUAGGAGACGGGCCAGGCAAGUAGAUCCGGGCCCAAGUGUUGUGGGCCGGGUUGAGCGGGACGUCCUUGGUGCGGACGGCGGAGGGCUGGUGGGGAUCGGGGUCGGCGGGGGUAUUCGGAAUGUGGUGGCCGCGCGUGACCGUGCCGUCUGGGUUGACGACGAUUUUGACAUAGUCAUCAGCGUUGACGGCCGGAGCUGGAUCGAGAUCCGGAUGUUGGCCAGCCAUGUUCGCUCUGCUCGAGCUCGAGGUGGGACUGAAGGAAGCGAUGGGGAAACCGCUCUUUGUAGCCAUCCGAGUUCUCCGAAAAGUGAAAAAGUCAAACGCACGAGCGCGGCCGCCGGUCCCAGCCGCACCUUCGCCGUGCUCCCCACGGAUGGCCCGAGCGAGCCGUUUUGGACCGUGAUAAGGAUUGGGCCAGCCCAAACUGUAUUGGGCUGGGCGUCCCGAGUGAUAUCACGUGGGCCGUGAUAGAACUAGCUCAAUUCUUGAAACAAAAACUUAUAUGAAGGAUUAAGUAAAGCGUUAACGGCACGGUUAAGAAGAAAACAAACAGGUUUGACAAACGGCGCAGCAUAUCAGCACGUAUUGAUUCCAUGGUUUCCUCACCUGCUGAAGGACUAAUCUCUGGCGCUGCAAAUGGUUUGCCCUUCACCCCACCCGGUCACAAUCAAACGAGAAAAUCAGAGAGAGACGAUGUUGUAUAUCAAUCUGAAACUUAAUUUUUUUUCGGUUUAAGCAUUUUUGCAAUGACUUAUCUCGAAGUCGUCACACACCACCGUGCCCGAUCUUGGCCACCCCUUCCCUGUGCUCCCCCAAGGAUGGCUCGAGUGGGCGUUUUGGGCCAUGAUGAGGAUUGGCCAGCCCAAACUAUAUCUUGGGCAUCGUCGUUGGCUCGGUUGGGAUGGGCCUAGCUGGGGUGAGCGAUGUUGUGUGGGCUGUAAUAAAACUAUAGCUCGACUCUUAAACAUACUAAUAUAAAGGUUGUGUUUAUCAAUCAAGAUUAAAUUCAAUAUAGGAUUAAAUUAAUCAUAUCAUGUGUUUGGUACUUGCUCGAGAUAAGAUAAUGUUAAAUAUAAGGAAAAAUAGACCAAAUAAAAUUAUUUAAUGGGAAAGGUGAGAUAAAAUUACCCUAUGGUUGAGAUGAGAUAAAAAUGAAUAGGAUUUUUAGCAUCCAUAAUAAGAAAGUUGUUUUUCUCGAAUAAUAAACUUAUUAAAUUAACAAAAUUAAAAUUAUAUUUAAUCUAAUAAUAUUUGAAUUUUAUUAUAAGAAAUUCAAAAUAAAAAAUAAAAAUUUAGUUAUUUUAACUUAAUCUUAUUUAUAUUUAUAUGUUCGAAUUUAAUUCUAUUUUAUAAUAUAAAUCCAAUAUAUAAAUAUAAAUAUAAAUAUAAAUUUGUAUUUAUUACAUAUUUUAGGUAUAUUAGUACAAUUCGCUAUUUUAUAAAAUUUUACUAGAGAAUGGUGGAAGGGGUAGAAUGAAAUUAAAAAAGAAAUUAAUUAAAAAAAGAGAGGAAAAUAAAAUAAAAUAAAAAAAAUAAAAAGUAAGCAAUAGUGUCAUAAGAGAUUUUUAUCAUAUCCGCUUGUAAAAUUUUUGGUUCAUUUAUACUAAUUACUAUUUAUUCAAAUUAAUGUAUAUAAUAUGAUGUAAAUAUAUCUAAUUUUUUAUUGCAAUCACCAAAUAGUGGAUAUGAUAUAAAAAAUUCAUAUAUUUUUUAUCUUAUUUUAUCUAGUCCUAUCUUUGUGUAAAAUCCGGACGACCAAAUGUAAGCAAAAUGAUUAAAUGAAGAAUAAAUCAAAUAGGUUCGACAAAUGGCGCAAUAUAUCAACAUAGAUUCCACUGUUUCUCAUCUGCCAAAGGACAAAUUUGUGGCACAACACAUGGUCUGGUCUUUGCCCGACCUGAUCGCAAUCACCUGUAACAUAAGCGAAAUUUUAAUCAAAAAAUUUGAGAGAAAGGAUGUUAUAAAUUGAUUUGAAACUUAAUUUUUUUGAAUUUAGGUGUUUUUCAAUUUAGUCCACCGGCUUUUACUUUGUGCAAUCAAAUCCUCUAAUCAAGUGGUUUGUUUACCUAUUGCGAUUUCUUUUUGGGCAAAUACCUCAGAAAACCUUAGAUUAUGUCCAUUGCGAUGCAAAUACCUCAGAUUAUUUUUUUGCGUCACCUAAUAUUCUAAACUUGCUCAGUGUCACAUAAAUAUUCCCAACUUUUUUUGUGUCACAAAAUAAAUCAAUUUUAUAUAUGUGUGACAUAUAUACCCUUUAUUUCAGGUCCACAUUGGGUAUAUUUGUCAAAUUGAUAAAUUUGAGAUUUUUAUACAUCACAAUGGAUAAAUUUAGAAUUUUUAGUGACACAAAAUGAAAUUCAAGGUAAUUGUGUCACAAUUUAUAUAAUUUGAAAAUUUUAUAAUAUUAUAUUUGUAAGUCACUCUGACAUGUCAUUUUUUUGGCUUAAUUCCAAAAAAAGCACCAACUGUAGAUCGAGUAAUAAUUCUGGCCCUAACUUUUUUGGUUUUCUGUCUAGUAAAAAAAUCACAAACUUUCACCCUUAUCCCAAAUUUGUCCUCACUGUUAACCCUCUAUCUAAAGUCAACCUUGUUUCAAGGAAAAAGAUUCUAGUUGUGAGCUUAGUGAAUCUCAUCCAUGGUGUCUCCCAAUGAGCAGUGGUCUACAGCUUCAGAUUACGACAAAACUACAAAGUUUGGAUAGAGAAAUUCAAUUUUGAGAUCUAGGAAAAAAUGAACAACUUCACUCUUAUUCUCCAAGCUAUGGCUCAAAGAAUAAAAUAAUGAAUAGUGCUUUAAAUCUAGUGGCUAGUGAACAUGGAUUUAUUGCUGAGGACAAUCAAUGGUUCUAAAUUAAGGGGGACAAGACUUGGGAUUUGAGUGAAAAUUGGUGAUUUUUUUCAAGACAAAAAAAAGUUGGGGUCAUAACUAUCAUUGGACCUAAAGUUGGUGCUUUUUAUGGAAUUAGGCUCAUUUUUUUAGUACAUUCCUAUUUGCUCAGUGAUCUCCUCAUGCUAUGCAAAAUUAUUCGACUCUCUAAAUUUCAUUGCAAUCAAGGACUUAGGAAUUUGAAGGAUAAUUUCUUUUUUACUUUAGUAUUCUUAUUUUCUCAAAUUUCCUAGAUAUUAUUUUGAUUUUUAAACUUUUCUAUUCAUUAUAUCUUUUUUCAAAUGUUUAAACUUGCCAUGUCAGCCGCCAUACUCAAUUUUGUUAAAUACGUGAAUAGAAAAAACCUCUAGUGCACAAUUCAUACAAAUUAAAGGACUUGAUCGAACAACUCAAAAGUCGAAGGCUUCAAUCUGCAAUUAGCAUAACCUCUUAAAUAAUAAAAUUAGACAUAUCAUAUAUAUACUAACCUCUUGUUUUGACAAGAAGUUCCAUUUUACUCGACACUAUUAUAAUUUUGUAUUUGAACCUUUUCAUGAACUCUAUAGAAAGCAACUUUAACUUUCGUAAGAAGCCACAUCACUUCAAGCUCAUAUAGGUGAAAUAUCUACCAUGUGUCUUUAUUACUAAUAUCACAAUACUAAUUUGUAUUAUACUUCAUUAAGAUUCAAUUCAACCUAUACAUAUACAAUGUAACAGAUGUACUAACUUCUCAUAUUAGAGCUAAUAUCAAUACCAAACAAUCACACUCACUAACUUAUUUUUACCUAUCAAGCCUUGUAACUAAUGGUAUUCUAGAAAAAAAAAAAUUGGGUUACAUUACUGGAAAUUUAAAAAAAAAAAAGAAAGGGUUUUAGCCCAAUUUCUUGUGAGAUUAUAUUUAUUAUGUCUCUUGAUAAACCUUUGUUGAGGGAUAAGUUAGAUUCUUACUUGACCUCAUAUAGAUAAUUGUUAUGGUACCAUCUUGAAUCAAGUGUCUCACGUACUCAUGUCUAAGUCAAUAUGUCUAGACUUAGCAUUAUUAGUGCUACUAUAAGCUCUUACCGGUGUAGCCUGAUUAUCACAAUUGAUAGAAAAUAGAAGGUAUAAGAUUAGGCCAUUAUUUGAAAUCCAACAACAGAUUUCUAAUACCUUCAACCUCUUUCCUAGUCAAUGCUAAAGCAAUGAAUUCAGAGUCUAUCAUUGAGUGGGUUGUGCACGUUUAUAUCUUGCUCAUGCGUCCACCUAAUAUGAAACCUACCCAAAAGUGAAAUGUUUAUCACCCUCCCUUGUAAUCCAACUAGCAUCAUUGUAUCCUUUUAACACAGCUGGAUAAUUAUUGCGGAACAUUUCAAAUUUUUCGUUCUAUUAAUCUAACAAAAAAUUCAAGUAAUAGUUUUCUAUUAUUCUAUACUUUGAUUAUUAGUAUACCUACUCGACUUAUACACGAAAUAAGCAAUGUGAGGUUUAGUACAAGGCAUCACAUAUAUUAAAGAUCCUAUAGCACUCUCAUAUUUAAGUUGUGCUACUGCUCCUAUUUUUUAAUUAUUUAAUUUCGAAUUUAUUAUUUUUUACUAAUGGUUAUUAGUCACUCUUACAAUCUUUGGAAGGUUGUGUUUGUUUGAGCAUGACUUCUUCAUUUUUGAAAGGUUGUAUCCCUUCAAAUACAUUUAUUCAACAAAUAUUAUUUACAUAACUUUCGAUUAACCUUUCAAAGAUAUGCAAUGAUAGUUUUCAAUUGUUUCUUUUGAGAGAUCCUGAAAAAAUACUAUGAUAGCUAUAUAAUAUUCUCAAUUAAGAUUUUACUGUAUCUUAAAGAAAAUUUGCUAGUGACUAUUAGUAACGUUAUGAGACAAAUAAUUUCUUAAAAAAAGUGAUAUCACACUUCAAAGUGUGACUUCAUUAAUAUUCCCAAUCGUUCGUCAUAUUUUCCGGAAAAUUUUUAUAUUUAUAAAUUCGAAUAUUAAUAAAUAAGAAAUAGGAUCGUUCCAUCCCGUCUUUCUUGCUUCUCUUGCUUGGCUCGAUCGAAUCCGCUAUCUCCUGGAUAAACUUCCCACAAUAAAACAAAGCGGGAUCCCAUCUGCUCCUUUUUUUAUAAUGUUCUUGUUUUUUUCUCCACUUUUGAGCUGGGGCACCGGAGGGAACAGAGCAGGAGAUCAACAGAGUCGAACAGAGGGAGGCGAUGGGGAUGCGGUUCAGAUCAGUGAGUCGGGGAAAGAGACCGCGAAAAGGCGGGCUACUGAAAGGCCGUAUCUUAUAUUCUUGAGGCGCUAAAGCUUUUACCUUUCGUCAAAGUGGCCUGCAGUGGGCAAUCGUCCAUGACUCGACUUCAAUAUAUGAUUUGCGCGACCCAUAUCGAUUCAGAAAUGUCCCGAGACGUAGAAACUGUUAAUGCUAAACUUAAGGGACCAUCUUGCCGACCAAAGCUCGGCUCCGAGAAUCCGAGAAUUAAUCGGCAAUGCAAAAAUCCGGGUCGAAGCCUUCUGGGUUUAGGAUGCGGAUUGGUCCUCACAUAAAUGAUUGGAAAGGAAGGGAGAAAAGAACGCAAAAAAAAAAGCUUAAGGGACCAUCGCACAUCACAUUCAUUGCGGUGCCUUUCCAUGUGGUGGAGAUAAGGCUGAUGUAUGCGAGCACAUUUAUGCUAAUCAAGGACUGACCAAAAAAAAAAAAAAAACAUCACUGAUGAUGUAUGGGGACACAUUUAUGCUACUCAACUUCACUUUCUGACAGUAGCAAGGUUGUUUUUAUUUGAUAGAUGGCAUCCGUCUUUGACCGCCGUUUAUCUUCCCGGUCCCGGCUGCCGGAGUAGCCGAGCUGCCGGCUCAAAUGUUACUUUUCAGUUUCUCGAACAACGGCUCCGCCUUAGCCGGUUCGAUUAUCUCCACUCCAUGAUAAUCGCCUUCACCACCGAAAAGGCCCACCACUUCCACGCCCUUCGCCUCCAGCUUCGCCGCCAACUCCCUCUGCCGAUCUAUCAACGGGUCUCCACUGCCAGCCACCACCACCACCCGCCACCCCAGCUUUUUCAUCCUCUCCCACUCCUCCGAUCUCUCCCCACCCGUCGGGUUGCAAUACUCGUGGUCCCGGUCGGCGCCAGCCGGCAGCGACAGCUCCCACAUCUUGUCCGCCACGUUCACCGGCAGGGUUUGGUUGUUGAACAGCCUCACUUCCGACUCGGUCCUCCGGGACCCGCCGAAGAAGGGGUGGUGCAAGAUCAGCCCUCUGAUCACCAGAGGCUCCAGAUCGGCCGCAGCGGCGCACACGCGCAGGCCCACGUGGUACGCGAUAUUCCCCCCGGCGCUCGUGCCCAUCAGGUAGCACCGCGAGAAGUCAACGCCCUCGCGAAGCCACUCCUCCUCGGUGGUGCUGACCCAGCGGAGGGCCUCCACGGCGUCGUCGUAGCUGCGGGGAGGCGGUGCUCCGGAGCGAGGCGGUAGCUUGGGGAGACGACGACGCGCCGAUCUUGGCCGCCAUGAGGGAGCAGAAAACGUGGUGCAUCGCGUCGGCCGGGGAGCAAAUGACGAAACCACCGCCAUGGUAAUACACGACGAGCGGCAGCUUCUGGUCGGGCGGGGGCGAGGGGCGAGGCACGUAGAUCCGGGCCCAAGUGUUGUGGGCCGGGUUGAGCGGGACGUCCUUGGUGCGGACGGCGGAGGGCUGGUCGGGAUCGGGGUCGGCGGGGGUACUCGGCAUGUCGAGGCCGCGCGUGACCGUGCCGUCGGGGUUGACGACGAUUUUGAUGUAGUCAAGGGCAUCGACGGCUGGAGCUGGAUCGAGAUCCGGAUGCCGACCGGCCAUGUUUUGCUUUCUGCUCGAUCUCGAGGUGGGAGCGAAGAAAGGAAUGGGGAACUCGCUUCUUUGCAGCCGUCCGAGUUCUCUCAGUAGCUAAGAAGUCAAAACGCAAUUCAGUGCGACUGCAACGGCCCUGAUGAGGAUUUAAGAACAAACAUUUGUCGGCUCGCCUGUCUGUUUCGCCCACCUCAAGCAAAAGUAAACACGGCCGCCUGCGACCGUUGAUGAUUACGCCCGUGACUUUCCUCGAACCUCGAAAGUUGUCCUCGGCCGCACCAUCAAUCACGCGCCGCCUCGAAGAUUCAACUACCCUAGCCGCCCCUUCGCCGUGCUCCCCAAGGACGACCCGAGCAGGCAUUUUGGACCGUGAUAAGGAUUGGGCCAGAUCAAACUGUAUUCCAACGGUGGGGACUGGGCUGGGUGGGCCGAGUGAUAUCAUGCGGGCCGUGAUAGAACUAGCUCAACACUUAAACAAACUUAUUUAAAGAUUUAAGUAGAGAGUUAAAGACGCGGUUAUGAAUAAAUUAAAUAAGCCUGAUAAAUGGCAUGGUAAGGGUAAGCAUCAGUCCAAAUUUAAC